This 54859-nucleotide long non-coding RNA is filed under the name Capsicum annuum. RNAcentral's name for it is "long non-coding RNA (CANN_LNC005886)". The stretch from base 39526 to 39828 matches the Rfam family "Plant signal recognition particle RNA". Lineage: Eukaryota; Viridiplantae; Streptophyta; Magnoliopsida; Solanales; Solanaceae. The record is from RNAcentral.
AGUAAUGUGGGCUUGUAAUCCAAAUGGGGGCAUCAAUGUGGUGGGAUGUUGGUCUGUCCCAGAUGGUUGGCCUUGUCAGGCUAGUAGUUUCUGGCCUGCCCUCUCCAAGCACAGAGUUGGUUCAGGGGUUGGCCUUGUCAGGCUAGUAGUUUCUGGCCUGCCCUCUCCAAGCACAGAGUUGGUUCAGGGGGUCUAAUCAAAAGAAUAGGCUUCUUGAUCCCUAUCCCUAAGCAACGAACAGUUCCCGCAAGCACAGAGUUGGUUCAGGGGGUCUAAUCAAAAGAAUAGGCUUCUUGAUCCCUAAGCACAGAGUUGGUUCAGGGGGUCUAAUCAAAAGAAUAGGCUUCUUGAUCCCUAAAGCGGGGUGGACUGCGUGAGGUCUAAUCAAAAGAAUAGGCUUCUUGAUCCCUAAGCACAGAGUUGGUUCAGGGGGUCUAAUCAAAAGAAUAGGCUUCUUGAUCCCUAAGCACAGAGUUGGUUCAGGGGGUCUAAUCAAAAGAAUAGGCUUCUUGAUCCCUAACCCUAAGCAACGAACAGUUCCCGCAAGCACAGAGUUGGUUCAGGGGGUCUAAUCAAAAGAAUAGGCUUCUUGAUCCCUAAGCACAGAGUUGGUUCAGGGGGUCUAAUCAAAAGAAUAGGCUUCUUGAUCCCGAAAGCGGGGUGGACUGCGUGAGGCUGGUUUCACAAUCAAAAGAAUAGGCUUCUUGAUCCCUAAGCAACGAACAGUUCCCGCUCUGUGCAGUGGAAGGAUAACUGGUCGGUGCCUUUCAAGCAGAGUUGGUUCAGGGGGUCUAAUCAUUUGGCCCAGCUUACACCGGACAAUGAAUUAGGUAAUAUCAGAGGUAGGCAAUAUGAGCAUUUCUUUGUAGAAAGUGAAUUAGGAUAAUGAAGUAUAUUUUAUUUUGAAUACCACUAAUCUAUAAAAUGGCUUGUUGUAAACCUACUUUGUAAAAGAAUAGGCUUCUUGAUCCCUAAAGCGGGGUGGACUGCGUGAGGCUGGUUUCACAGAGCAACGAACAGUUCCCGCUCUGUGCAGUGGAAGGAUAACUGGUCGGUGCCUUUCAAGUCCAGUAACGCCUGAUGGGCUGCUCUGAUUAAACCAUCACUUUUUGGCCCAGCUUACACCGGACAAUGAAUUAGGUAAUAUCAGAGGUAGGCAAUAUGAGCAUUUCUUUGUAGAAAGUGAAUUAGGAUAAUGAAGUAUAUUUUAUUUUGAAUACCACUAAUCUAUAAAAUGGCUUGUUGUAAACCUACUUCAUUGGAACUAUUAUCACACUUUAUGUUAUAGCAUUGAAAGUUUCUUAGAUUGUAUACUUCUAGAAAUGGUUAACCGUGGAGUUUGUUGCCGAUAGGAUAGAAUGAACGAAAAAGAUCUAUGUAAGAUGAUACCAGUUAGCCGAUUAUGUUUUAGUUAUUUUAAGUCCUAUGAGUAAUUCUUGUGCAAGUAGAAGAAAAUUGAGAAUUUCAAAUGCUUUUUAACUAGUAUAAUUUCUGUUGAGAUUAGUUCCGCCAGUGUGAGCUUGCUCUCUUGCAUAACUGGUCUCAAGUCUGAAUAGAGGAAGAGGGUUGUGGUAGGGGUUGAUAGACAUAGACUGCAUAAAAUUUGUCUAUUGCUGAAGAAUACUCAUAUGUACAUAUGGUUUGACUCGAGCUAAAAAGAUAAACAUGUUCAUUAAUGAGGAUUCAUUAGACUGACUCUUGUCCAUUUGACGGCUUCACUUAUCUUCCCUCCAGGCCAGUGUAUUCAAGCUUGUUCCUCAGGCAGAAAACUGAACCGGCAGACUUAUAGCUCAGCUGAGUCAUGAUCUGUACACUUCCAAGUGCAAUAACAUGCCCUCCAGCAAAUGUGAUUGGAGUCUUUUUUAAAAAUGAUUGUGUUAGAUUAGUUUGUAUGUAUCUCGACUAUUUCACAAAGUAUUUUUCGCUAGUGCAGAGAGUGAAAUGACACCAGGUAGUCAGUUUUAGGGCUUAUGUUUAGGGAUUAGCCACGUUUGCAAAGUAUUUAGAGGUUGAAUGGUUGGUGGGAUGAGAUAGACAAAGAUAUUUCAUGGGAUAGUUAAUCCGAUCAUUUUAGUACAAAAUAGUUCUCGUACUUUUUGAUAUUCAUAAUCAAACACAGAUAAAGAAUCUUGUAGAUAUCCCAAGAUUGUUAUCCUUUAUCUCAUCAAUCAAACGACUCCUAAGGAUAUAGUUACAUCUUUAAAAAAAGUGCCAGAGAUUCACUGCUGCUUCUCUGUAUUAUCUACAUCCUAUUAUUGGAAUACUGGAAUAUGCAGUACUAUAAUAAAAAUUACUAACAAUUUUUAAUCUUGUAGUUGUUAAAAUUCAGAUCAGUCUCUGUCAACUUACAAUAAAACUACGAUUACCAAAAACAAUUUCUUUAAUUUCAGCAGCAUUCAUGAAACAAACAAGAAGGAUUAAACAAAAUCAUGCCAUUCUUGUUCAUGACGUUGACUUACAACCAUUAAUAUUACAAUCCUAUUUUCCUGGAUGCAAUGAAUUUGAUGACAUCCCUGCAAGAUCCAAGAAUCCCUUUAGCAGAAAAAAUGUAAAUGCUCACAGAAGUGCAGUAUUAGAUUUGCAGUAUAAUAAAAGCAUAUCUUCCUAAGUAAGAAACGAAUGAUUUGUCCCACGUUGCUAUACAACUGAUACUUUUCUUGCUUUUUAAUAGAAUGCAAAUGAAUACUGAAUGCCGAGCUCAGUAGUGUGGGCUUAUAACUCAAGUGGGGGCAUCAAUGUGGUGGAAUGUUGGGCUGUCUCAGAUGGUUGGGCUUGGUGUGCUAAUUUCUGGCCUUCCCUAUCCAAGCACAGAGUUGGUUCAUGGUGCCCAAUCGUAAGGAUGGGUGUCUUGGUUCCUAAAGCGGGGUGGACUGCGUGAUGUGCUAAUUUCUGGCCUGCCCUAUCCAAGCACAGAGUUGGUUCAUGGUGUCCAAUCGAAAGGAUGGGUGUCUUGAAUCCUAAAGCGGGGUGGACUGCGUGAGGCUGGUUUCACAGAGCAACGAAUAGCUCCCGCUCUGUGCAGUGGAAGGAUAACAGGCUGGUGCUUGUCAAGUCCAGUAACGCCUGAUGGGCUGCUCCGAUUAAAACCACCACUUUUUUUUUCCUUCAUUUAAGGACUUAGGUUGUGGCAGGGGUUGACAGACUGCAUAAAACUUGUCUAUUGUUGAAGAAUCCUCAUAUAAUACAUAUGGAAUGACUUGAGCUUAAAUGGAGAAAUAUGAUCGUAGUAGUUAUCGUACAAUGCUGGCUUGAGAUUUAAUUUAAAUGAAAAAUGGUUAGUGAGGAUUCAUAUUACUGACGCCCUUGCUUAUUUGAGACUUAAAGCAUAAUUGUUGGUUGUGUGUCUCAUGUUUCCUGAGUCAUGAUUUGUAUCUUCACUUCCAAGUGCAAUAACAUGUGCUCCAACAAAUGCGAUUACACGUCUUUUUAAAAUGGUGGUGUUAGAUUUGAUUGUACGUGUCUCGACUAUUUUACAAGGUGAUUUUUCACUAGUAUAGAUAGUGAAAUUUCACCAGGUAGUUAGUUUUAGGGCUGAUGUUUAAGGAUUAGCCAGCAUUCACAAAGUACUUGGGGGACGUUUGGUUGGUUGGUUGGUUUCCUUGGCAGCUAUGUAUGAGGAUCCUCCAUCUUAGCCAAGGUGCAGCUUUCGGUAGCAUUUGAGAGAAGAAGGAUUAAACAAACAAGCAUGCCAUUCUUGUUCACAACGUUGACUUGCAACGAUUAAUAUUACUAUCCCAUUUUCCUGGAUGCAAUAAAUUUGAUGAUAUGCUUGCAAGAUUCAAGAAUCACAUUAGCUGAGCAAAUGAAAACACUCACACAAGUGCAAUAAAAGCAUUUCUUCCUAAGAAGGAAAUGAAGGAUUUGUUCCACAUUGCUAUACAACGGAUACUUCUAUUGCUUUUUAAUAGAAUGCAAAUGAAUACUGAAUGCUGAGCUCAGUAGCGUGGGCUUGUAACUCAAGUGGGGGCAUUAACGUGGUGGAAUGUUGGGCUGUCUCUGAUGGUUGGGCUUGGUGGGCAAGUUUCUGGCCUGCCCUCUCCAAGCACAAAGUUGGACCACGGUGCCCAUUCGAAGGAAUGGGUGUCUUGAUUCCUAAAGUGGGGUGGACUGCGUGAGGCUGGUUUCACAGAGCAACGAACAGCUCCUGCUUUGUGCAGUGGAAGGAUAACAAGUCGGUGCCUUUCAAGUCCAGUAACGCUUGAUGGGCUGCUCCGAUUAUAGACCACCACUUUUUUUCGGUCUCCAUAAGUUAUUUGACUAUUUCAACUUUCUUCCUGCUAGCUUUUGACAAAACUACAUGUUCAAAAAUUUGUAAUUUCAGUUCAUUAAAUUUUGAACUCACCUUACAAAUGAUUAAUUUUUAACUAACAUCAAAAGAGCCCUUGUUGAGAUGAAUAAAUAAAUAACAAACUAACAAGUUCAAGGAAAUAUCAGUUAGAAUAGUUAGUUAAAAUACUGUGCAUCACUAAUUCUGUGAAGAGUUAGUUAUGAGUCCAGAAAACAGUUGGGACUAGAAGCUUAGCUCAGCUAUAUAUAUACAUGAACUCUUGUACAUACACAUUACAAUUAACUACACUACAGUUUACUUCCUUAUACAGUUACAUACUCAUUCUCUUCUUCUUACUCUUCAUUUUUUCCUUUAUCUUCUUCUCUGAUUCUGUCUCUAACAGCUUUAAUGUCUAAAGCUGGAUGAUCAUUAUGAUCUUUACUUGGUUCCAUUCUUAAAUUCUACAUGGUAUAAGAGACACACGAUCUGCAUAGCUUCCGCAAUCUCUUCUUGCAAUUUUGAGAUAUAUCCUCUUCGGCGAAUCAUUGCUACUGGAAAUUGUCUUGAUCUCUGCAGUGAUCUAGUCACUUCUACUGAAAUUCAGUUGUAGUUCUGAGAUUCGAGUUCCGCUAUUCCUCAUCUGGUUGGAUUCUUUAUUUUUUCAAGAAUUGCGCAGCAACUCAAGAAUUGAAGGAAAUUGUCAUUUCAUUCUGAAACAAAAUGGAGUCUACAACUGCUGUUGGUGUCACCCCUGCAACCAGUGGUACUACUCAAGUCCUGGACCAUAAUCAUCCACUGUAUCUCCAUUCGCUGAUGUAAGUGGCAUUUCUCUAAUUUCUUUACAACUUACUGGUUCUGAGAACUACUCUAUUUGGAGCAAAUCCAUGAGAAUUGCCUUGUUAGGAAGAAAUAAGUUGGGGUUUGUGGAUGGUACUUGGAAGAAAGACAGUUUUAGUGAAGAAUUGGGUUAUCAGUGGGAAAGAUGCAAUGUCAUAGUGCAAUAUUGGUUAAUGAACAUCGUAUCAAGCUCUUUGUUAGGAGGCAUGGUGUAUGCAACUACAGCCUGUGAGGUGUGGCAGGAUCUACGUGAAAGAUUUGACAAACUAGAUGGAUCCAGAACAUUCAACUUGCAUAAGGAAAUUGCCACAUUGAUGCAGGGUGCUCUGAGUGUAGCUGGAUACUUCACAAGGCUGAAAGAGCUAUGGGUAGAACUUGAGGCAUUAGUACCACCACGUAGUUGCAACUGUGACAAGUCAAGGGAAUUCUUGGCCUAUCUGCAAAGGCAGAAACUGUACCAGUUCUUGAUGGGGUUAAAUGAUAACUAUAUGCAAUCAAGAAGCCAAAUACUUAUGAUGACACCUCCUACCAUCAGUAAAUCAGGCUUAUGCCAAGAUCAUAAGUGAUGAAUCACAGAAAGCUACGUUGUCAUCUUCCUCUGCCGGGCUUCUUGGUGCAAUGCCGGCAAUUCAUGCUCAUGACCCUACUGCAAUGUACUCAAAAUCAAAAACUGCAGCAUCAAAGUUCAGGAAAAACUAUAAUCUGUUUUGUGAAUUUUGCAAACUGAAAGGACAUACAAAAGACACAUGCUACAAAUUAGUUGGAUACCCCACGGAUUCAAGAUUCAAAAAGAAAGGGGGAGUAGGAGCCUCUAACUACAGGUCAAGUUCAGGUUCUUUUGGACCUUCUGCACAUAAUGCUUUAUCAGAAAGGGUCAAGGAAGGAUAUGUUACAGAGGCACAAGAUGGAAAACCACAAGGCAUGAAUAUGGUGCAGACUGGAGCUUGUACAUUUACUCAGAGUCAAUAUGAUCAAAUUGUCCAAUUGCUAAACCAAACACAACUGAACUCUAAUAACAAUGACAUACAAGGACAAGGACCCUCAGUAAAUGUUGCAAGCAGCUCAGGUACAUCUAGUUAUAAAGCCUUCUUGGUGUCUAAAAUCCUCAAACAAUGGAUUAUCAACACUGGUGCCACCAAUCACAUGGUUUCUGAUAUUGGUAUGCUUAAUAGUGCAUCAGUCGGAAAGCCAAUAGAUCCAAAAAAUCACAUGGUUUUUGGGACUCUCUUACAUCUUCAAUGGAUGUUUUGUGUGCGGAUGGAAAUGGAGUUUUAUCUACUAGAAGGGUUAAUGCUAGUACUGCAUACUCAUCUUUGAUACAUAAUACCAGCAGUAAUGUGUUGUCUAAUGUACAUAGUGUAGACCCUGCUGGUACUAUGGUGGCACAGCCACAACUACUUUCUGUUUAAGCUUUUUGUUAUUACAAUAUAUCAAGAACCCCGUUUAUCACCAAUAAAAGGCAGAAAAGAUUGAGAACUUCAAAUUCUUUUAAAUAGUAUAAGGAGGAGGAUUGUGAUAGAUUUUUGGCCAGCAUAAAACUUGUUGAUUCAUGAAGAAUCCUCAUGUAAUACAUAUGUCAUGACUUGAGCUUAACUGGAGAAACAAUGAAACACGGUCAUUGAAAAUUCAUAUAGUUGAUUCCAACUCAUUUAGGAUUGGGACAUAGUUAUUAUUAUAUAGUAUUUAUUGUAUAAUCAUGCCAUUCUUGUUUACGACGUUGACUUAUAAUGAUUAAUGUUACUAUCCCACAUUGCUAUAUAACAGAUACUUUUACUGCUUUUUAAUAGAAUGCCAAAGAGUAAGGAAUGCAGAGUUCGGUAAUGUGGGCUUGCAACUCCAAAAAGGGGGCAUUAAUGGGGUUUGAAUGUUGUGUUGGGGUUGUCCCAGAUGGUUGGGCCUGCCCUAUCCUACAAUAGUAUUGUAUGGAGUUGGAUUAGCACGUACAAUACAAAUUUAUUUGAUUAAGUGAAUAUAUAAGAUGUCAUAAAUUUAUAUUUUGUAGAAUGUUGCUAAUGAUCCAAAAGUUGAGUGUUUCUUUCCCGUACUAAAAUUUUUAAAAAUUACUUCACACAUUUUUUAACAGAAAUGCAGAGUUUAAAGUGGGCAAGAAACACUAUUACAUUUGUGGCUGGAGCACCAAAAGAUACGUAAGUCAAGUAAAAUAUUGUGGCUAGAGUACCAAAAAUUAUGUAGGUAGCCACAUGUUGUUUCGUUUCUCUUAUCAGUGUUGCUUUCUGUAUUGAUGGUUGUUGCUACAAGUACUCUUUAUUGUAUGUUCUUUUCCUAUUUGUUUGAGAUUCUUUACUUGAGAUAGGAAAAUGCCUUCUGCCCUUGUAAGGUAGGGGUAUGGUUGCGUGCACUCCACCCAACUCAAAUGAAACUUUGCUAGAUUCACAUUUCUUGAUCAAGUUCAUCCCACCCUCCAUAUCUAAGAUACAUAUCGGGCACCCAUGAUUGAUAACCUGUUUUUUCUCUUUCACGUCCUGGAACUUCCUCCUCUUCGAUCUUCAGAAGUUUGUCUUGCUUGACGUGGGAGCAACACGCUGCCUCUUCUUUGUUUUACUCUUGCCCGUUGGUUUGUUUUGUGUCACAUCCAGCAUCCUGUUCACAAUGCUUCACAAUAUUGACUUACAACCAUUAAUGCCUGCAAGAUUCCAGAAUCCCUUUAGGAGAGAAAAAUGUAAACACUAACACAAGUGUAGUAUUAUAUUUACAUAACAAUAAGAAUUUGUCCCACAUUGUUAUACAACGGUAACUUUUAGUACUUUAUAAUAGAAUGCAAAAAUGCACUAGAACGAAUGAAAUAUAUCAGUUCUGACUUAUUUUUGCAAUCAUUGUUGUUCUUGUAUGUCGACAUUAUCAGGCUAGAGCAGUGAUCACAUGCAGCCGGAAAUAAACUAGAGUGAACGAAAUAAAUCAGUUUUGGCUUAUUUCUGGAAUCAUUGUUGUUCUUGUAUGUCAUCACUGUUAUCAAGGAGACACAUGCAAAUAAAUCAGUAAGUCAUCACUUUUAGCGCGACGACCUUAUCAGGGAGACACAUGCAGCAGUAGCCAAAAUGAGAAACUUUUAUAGCGACGAAGUGCAGCAGUAGCCAAGAUGUGCGACGACAUUAUCAGAAAGACACAUGCAGCAGUAGCCAAAAUGUGGAACUCAUCACUUUUAGCGCGACAGCGUUACCAGGGAGACACAUGCAGCAGUAGCCAAAAUGUGAAACUUUUAUAGCGACGACGUGCAGCGGUAGCCAAAAUGUGAAAUCACUUUUAUAGCGAUGACGUUAGCGCACGACGGCGUUAUCAGGGAGACACAUGCAGCAGUAGCCAAAAUGUGAAAUCACUUUUAUAGCGACGACGUUAUCAGGGGAUUGUAUGUCAUCACUUUUAGCGCGACGACGUUAUCAAGGGAGACACAUGCAGCAGUAGCCAAAAUGUGAAAUCACUUUUAUAGCGACGAUGUUAUCAGGGGAUCAUUUAGUUGUUGUUCUUGUAUGUCAUCACUUUUAGCGCGAUGACGUUAUCAGGGGAGACACAUGCAGCAGUAGCCAAAAUGUGAAAUCACUUUUAUAGCGACGAUGUUAUCAGGGGAUCAUUUAGUUGUUGUUCUUGUAUGUCAUCACUUUUAGCGCGAUGACGUUAUCAGGGGAGACAUAUGCAGCAGUAGCCAAAAUGUGAAAUGACUUAUUUUACUGCCUUUAGACAUGAUAUAUUGCGCAGUGGUGGUGGAUGGUAUCUAUUGCUUGCGAUUUUGCACGUUCAAAUAGGAAAAUAAGUAUUGUAUUUGCCUAAUUUAAGGUCCACGUAGGUAAGUAGUUUGAAGUUCUAGCCAGUGAGCAAAAAUUACCUCAAAAAUUAGUUGAUCGACUAUUUGAAUUUUAACCUUCUUGUUGAGAAUUUUACUAGUAAGAAACAUUGAACAACUAUGUUCCACACCGGACAUUCAAAUUAUGUUUCGGUACUUUAAAAGUGGCUUACCAAAUAAAGCUAAUUCGGUGGUGGGAACGGUAGGGGCCGAGGUUCCUCUCCUGCAGUUGAGGCGACACUCCAGCGGAUGAUGGAAAGGAGUCCCACGGGCCACGCCCCGCCUUUCCAGGGUGUCCCGAGGUGCGGAUACCUUUGAUUGACCACCAUUUUAUCAAAUUUGAACUAUUUCGUAUUUGAUAUAAGUUUAGAAAUUUUUUGUUCUACAUUGUCUCACGUUUCUACGGUGGUUUGAUGAUAGUUUGGCGUAUCUUAUACUUGUUUUUAGGAAUGGUUGUUUGGUCUUCAAAUUUUGGUUCGUUUUUUCGAUUAUUGGUUUUUCCACAUGGUGUGCCGAACAUCGAACCGAAUUAGAUUGAUUUGGUUCUUUAAAGAAUAAUUUAUUGAAAUGGGGUUCUCCAUUUUGGGCGUACCCUUUUAAUUUUUUUAUUACAUCAUUGACGGAGUUAACGCCAUCAAGGAUCAAUUUCCAUUUUUGGGCGAAUUGUCUGUUUUGAAAUAUUGUGUUGAAAAAGUGUCACGACCCAACUUUUCAGGUCAUGAUGGCGCCUACCAUAACCCCUAAUAGGCAAGCCAACCCGUAGUCCGGAACGGCUAGUAAUGGACUACUCAAUAACAUGGAAAAGAAUGCGGAAUAUAUGAGAUAAAGAUCAAUACAUAGAUGAAUCCCAAAACUUGGUGGUAUCAGUACAAGAGCUUCUAAACAUAAUAAGAGUACAAAAGUGAUAUAUCAAGGAGAAAUAUAAUAAUUCAACUUACCUCUGAAUACAACUUAGAGGCUAGUCUAAUACAUAGGAGAGAGAUAAGUAAUACUCCGAACGUCAGGAGCUUACUCUAAGUCUCCAAAUCAGGGCUACUCCACACGAUGCAAACAUCAACGACGAUAACUUGUACUAUGAUUUGCAGGCUGCGGAGGUGUAGUAUGAGUAUCAAACGAAUGGUACUCAGCAGGCAACUGCCAACUGAGCUCCAAAGAUAAAGUAGAUAUAUACAACUUAUAAAUAGAAUGGAAACUACAACCAAGAGUCCAUAAAUCAUGUAAUAAGUCAAUGAGAAUAACAAGGGACAACUAUCAUAUUCAUGUCCAAGAGUCUAACAUAAUAAGACUAAGGAAAUAUCAAGGUGAACUAUCUUAUUCCAGCUACAUUCAAAAUACGCCAAAGCUAUACCGUAUAUCCCAGGUCAAUAUAUAGAUAAAGAGCGAAAGAAAGAUAUAUUGCAAUUUACAAGGCGAAGGAACGACUAUACAAUAUGAACAAUGAAGAAAGGGGUAUCUGAUAGUACCAUGACUUCAUAUAGCUAGAUAUAUAUAUAUAANNNNNNNNNNNNNNNNNNNAAAACAUAACCUAGAUCGUCAUGUUCUCAUUGUAAGACCUCAUUAUAAUACUAUCAGGAUUCAAUACCAACAUACUCAGGAUUUCUAAUCCAUAUGGCUAGACAUAGAAUAAUCGUGCAUAGUAAUAUAAUCAUAAGAUAGCAAAGGCCGAAGACAUACCUCAAUCCCAAUACCGGAUCCAUGACCAAUCUGUCAUAGGCUAGCCAUAAUAAUGAUGAUAAUAAUAUUAAUAACAUCGUAAAUAACCGGCUACUACGGAAAACCAAAUACCUAGUCGAGCCUAUGCGUAACCCCACCGCCCCAGACUUGGAAGGUUCAAUCAACAUAUAACAACACAAGGCAUAUUCUUCACCCAUAUCUAUGCAAUCAUCCCAUACCGGCUGAUAGACAUAGGUGCGUACUGGUGAUAGGCGAUGCACAUGCAGGAAUGAAUGCAAAGUAUACCAUUAAUAUCCCAACUCAUAAUAAAUGUCCUCAUCAGGACCAUCAUCAUCGUAAUCAACCCCCGGCUUUGUCGAAAAUCAAUAUUAUCUCAAUAGUAUCCUCUGGACUCGAACCGGGUAUCAAUAUCAUCAUAAUAUCCUCCGGCCUUGCCGGAAAUGAAUAUCAUCUCAAUAGUAUCCUCCGAACUCGAACCGAUAAUCAAUAAAUCAAUAUAAUCUCAAUAGUAUUCUCUGGACUCGAACCGGGUAUCAAAUCAUAUCAAUUUGUGGAUUCCUAACUCAACACAUUUUAGCUCAAAACAUUUUAAUCUUCCUCAACAUCAACAAGGUAUCAAUGCAUUGAACCAUAGCCGACUCGACAUUUUGACAAGGAUAUGAAGAAUCAAUACGUAAUAUUUUCAAUAAUUUAACUCAUCAAAACCAUCUGAAAAAUACCAAGACUCAUUGCAACUUCGAUAUUAAUAUACCCAAUAACUCAAAUCGCCAUAAGGAAGCUCAAAAUUUGACACAUAGCUCGAAAAUACUUGGAAAUACCAAUAAUUCAUUCUUGAACUUAAAACGUGGAUACAUGUUCAAAAUAUAUCAAUUCUUGAUAGAAACACCAAGAAUCCCAAUAUUAAACUCAAUUCAUAGAACGAAAAUAGUCAAAUACUCAUGUGAUUCAAAACUUACAAUUCAAAUCUUUAUAAGUUCAUAAUCGAAUUAUUUAGACAUAAUUCAACUUAUAGAACCAUAUGAAUCCAUUAAAUAAUCAUAAUUGGUAAGCUUGAACAAUUUACAUAUAUACAUAAUAAAAAUCUCAUGGUAGGAUAUCUUGGAAAUAAAUUCAUUUGCCAAACUCAUAAUAAUCCAUAAUAAAAAUUAAAGAUACGGGCACAAGAACGGAAGAAUUAUUCUUGUUCAAACCCUACAUACCUUAAAAUUAAAGAUUGGAAUAAAUUCUUGCCUCGAAACACUAUUCACGAAAUUGAUUUAUGCAUCUCGAAGAGCUCGGAACGGAGACUUCAUUUAUCGGAUUAAUUUGGAAUUUCCAUGGUGGAAUUGGAAGAUUUAGGAAGGGGAAUUUAGAGGUUUAGGGUUUCUUUCUUGGAAUUUUUUUUUGAAAAUAAGAGACUUUGAUGCCCAAAAUCAGUUUUUAUGCUUAUUUCCACGAAAUGGGGGGGGCAAGGGUGAAAUGACUGGAUUGCCGCUAAGGAAAUUGAAAAUGGCAGAAAAAUCCUGCGUACCUUGGCCACGAAAAACUAAAUAACUCCUCGUUCGGGUAUUGGAUUUUUGCGAAAUUUAUAUCGUUGGAAAGAUAACUCAAAGAUAUUUAAUUUUAUAUAUGGUAUGCUACCCAGUUCUUCAUAUAUAAGGAUUUAUGAUUGACCGAAGUUGACCCAAAUCAAAUUCGUCCCUUAGUUACUGAUUUGACAUGCUGAAAUAAAUUGAUCGUAACUUAUUACUCUGAUGUUGGAAUGGGGUGAAACCAAUUGCAUUGGAAAUAAGAAUCAAAGUGAUUUCGUUUGAUAUAUAGCAGAUCUCCCAGUUCCUUAUAUUCAGGAAGUGAUGAUUGUUUGAAGUUGGCCCUGAAAUGCUGAAAAUUUCUGGAGCAUGCUAAUCACAUGGUGCCACUAUUUUGGGCACCCAAACGUGCCCUUAUGCUACUCCAAAAAUUUCGAAACUCACUCGGGAUGUAUUAAGACCUUUCCCCAUUGCAACGCUACUUGAAAAUCAAAAAACGGAUGUCGGAAAGGUCGUCAAAUAAAUACCCGAAGAUCAGAGGUCUAAAUGAGAGUUUCAACACUUAGCAAGUUUUUUUUUUUAUGUGAUACCCCAAGUUUUUCCCGUUAAAUAUUUCGUUCCCAAAUGUGUCGAGUCGUUAAAACUUUUUUAUCUUGCCAAGAGAACUUAGCACUCAAAAAAAAAAAAAUUUGCUAAGUGUUGAAACUUUCUCAUUUAGACCUCUGAUCUUCGGGUAUUUAUUUGACGACCUUUAUGACAUCCAUUUUUUGAUUUUCAAGUUGUGUUGCGAUGGGUAAAGGUCUUGAUACAUCCCGAGUGAGUUUUGGAAUUUUUGGAGUAGCAUAAGGGCAUAUUUGGGUGCCCAAAACAGUGGCACCAUGCGACUAGCAUGCUCCAGAAAUUUUCAGCAUUUCAGGGCCAACUUAAAACGAUCAUCACUUCCUGAAUAUAAGGAUCUGAGAGAUCUGCUAUAUAUCAAACGAAAUCUCUUUGAGUCUUAUUUCCAAUGCAAUUGGUUUCACCUCAUUCCAACAUCAGAGUAAUAAGUUACGAUCAAUUUAUUUUAGCACGUCAAAUCAGAGGGACGGAUUUGAUUUGGGUCAACUUCGGUAGAUCAUAAAUCCCUAUAUAUGAAGAAAUGGGUAGCCUACCAUAUAUAAAAUUAAAUAUCUUUGAGUUAUCUUUCCAAAGAUAUAUAUUUCGCAAAAAUCCAAUACUCGAACGAGGAUUUAUUCAGUUUUUCGUGGCCCAGGUACGCAGGAUUUUUCUGCCAUUUUUCAACUUCCUUAGGGGCAAUCCAGUCAUUUCACCCUUGCCCCAUUUCGUGGAAUUAAGCAUACAAACUGAUUUUGGGCAUCAAAGUCUCUUAUUUUCAAAAAAAAAUUCCAAGAAAGAAACCCUAAACCUCUAAAUUCCCCUUCCUAAAUCUUCCAAUUCCACCAUGGAAAUUUCAAGGCAAGAAUUAAUCCGAUAAAUGAAAUCCCCGUUCCGAGCUCUUCAAGAUGCACCAAUCAAUUUCGUGAAUAGUGUUCCAAGGCAAGAAUUCAUUCUUGAACUUAAAACGUGGAUACAUGUUCAAAAUGUAUCAAUUCUUGAUAGAAACACCAAGAAUCCCAAUAUUAAAUCUCAAUUCAUAGAACGAAAAUAGUCAAAUACUCAUGUGAUUCAAAACUUACAAUUCAAAUCUUUAUAAGUUCAUAAUCGAAUUAUUUAGACAUAAUUCAACUUACAGAACCAUAUGAAUCCAUUAGAUAAUCAUAAUUGGCAAGUUUGAACAAUUUACAUAUAUACAUAAUAAAAAUCUCAUGGUAGGAUAUCUUGGAAAUAAAUUCAUUUGCCAAACUCAUAAUAAUCCAUAAUAAAAAUUAAAGAUACGGGCACAAGAACGGAAGAAUUAUUCUUGUUCAAGCCCCACAUACCUUAAAAUUAAAGAUUGGAAUGAAUUCUUGCCUCGGAACACUAUUCACGAAAUUGAUUGGUGCAUCUCGAAGCGCUCGAAACGGGGAUUUCAUUUAUCAGAUUAAUUUGGAAUUUCCAUGGUGGAAUUGGAAGAUUUAGGAAGGGGAAUUUAGAGGUUUAGAGUUUCUUUCUUGGAAUUUUUUUUUGAAAAUAAGAGACUUUGAUGCCCAAAAUCAGCUUUUAUGCUUAUUUCCACGAAAAAGGGCAAGGGUGAAAUGACUGGAUUGCCCCUAAGGAAAUUGAAAAAUGGCAGAAAAUCCUGCGUACCUUGGCCACGAAUAACUGAAUAACUCCUCGUUCAGGUAUUGAAUUUUUACGACAUUUAUAUUGUUGGAAAGAUAACUCAAAGAUCUUUAAUUUUAUAUAUGGUAGGCCACCCAGUUAGUCAUAUAUAAGGAGUAACGAUGAACCGAAGUUGACCCAAAUCAAAUCCAUCCCUCAGUUACUGAUUUGACAUGCUGAAAUAAAUUGAUCGUAACUUAUUACUCUGAUGUUGGAAUGGGGUGAAACCAAUUGCAUUGGAAAGAAGACUCAAAGAGCUUUCAUUUGAUAUAUAUCAGAUCUCCCAAUUGCUUAUAUUCAGGAAGUGAUGAUUGUUUGAAGUUGGCCCAGAAAUGCUGAAAAUUUCUGGAGCAUGCUAAUCGCAUAGUGCCACUGUUUUGGGCACCCAAACGUGCCCUUAUGCUACUCCAAAAAUUCCGAAACUCACCGGGAUGUAUUGAGACGUUUCCCAUUGUAAACCAACUGGAAAAUCAAAAAACGGAUGUCGGAAAGGUUGUCAAAUAAAUACCCGAAGACCAGAGGUCUAAAUGAGAAAGUUUCAACACUUAGCAAUUUUUUUUUUGAGUGCUAAGCUUCUCUUGGCAAGAUAAAAAGGCUUUAACGACUCGAUACGUUUGGGAGCGAAAUAUUUAACGGGAAAAACUCGGGGUAUCAAACUCUAAAUGCCCAAUAUCACUUCCAGAAGUAGUAUCAUAACCAUAACUAAAUAGCCACAAUCUUGAAACAUCAAUACAAGUUAUAAAGUUAUGAAGUAACCUUAUUCUAAGGUUUACUAGCUCAUAUAUGUCUAACAUCCGCAACUAAGUCCACAAGACUUAACAUAAGCUUAGGCCUAAGUGGGCCGAAUGAUCCCACUUUUAAUCCAUAAUUUCCAUAAUUAGGCAUACUAUGGUCCAAACUAGGCUAAGGUAUCUAGUUCAUCUUCUAGAUAUCAAGCAAGCCAUAUUAAAGCCUAAGAUAGUAACUUUGACUAGAAACAAGAGUAUUCAAGUCAACUCUGCCAGACUUACGGUUCCAAAACUAUCACACUAGCCCAAAAGUCUAACUAUACAAAUCAUGCUUCAAAUGUUAAAACCAUAUUCCAAGCAUAGCAUUAUAUCAUAUCUAUGCUAUAAAUUUACCCAAACUAGGGAGAAGGCAAUAGGAUUCUACAAGGGUAUUAAGUAAUUCAACCUACGGGUCAAAACCCCCAUCUAAUCCCCAAACUUAUAUGUAUAAUCAAUACUAAGUCAUUCUAUCCAAUAUCAAUCUUAACAUUCACAUUCACACGCAAUAUAUAUCAUACAUCAUCCAUGAAGAAGAGUAAACAGAAGCCUACCUCAAGGCUAAACCGCAAAAUCACACUUCAAGCACCGCAUGCUCGUCUUUACUUCACAAUCCCCAAAAUGCCAUCACACUAUCAAAAAGAUAAUCUACUCAUCAAUAUGAGUCUAACGAUAUCCAUAUUGCACUAUUGUGUUUCGGGUCCAAAAACGACACCAAAACCCCUAAGUGGGUCGCAUUUUCGAAGCCAACCCAAUGCUCAUACAUCACCAAGGAAUCAUAACCCUCAAUGAAUUGGUGAAAACAAACUAAAUUUAGGGCUAAAUCAAGCCCUAAGCUAAAUUGGGAUUUUGGGUCAAGAACUAAGAAAUUCACCAAUAAAGUGAUAAAAUCUUAUCUUAAUCCGGAUGAUAAUCAUGAUAAAAGAUGUUUACCAAGCUCACUAGGCACCCACAAGACUUAGUUUUGAGUUAUCAUAUCCAUUUAGGGUUUUAGGCUCUCAAAAAUGAGUCAAAAAUGGUGAAAAACGCAGUUAUAGGGUGCUUAAAUACCCAUACCAGCUUUGGAGAUCUGCAGUCGCUGUCUGGGCCAUCAACAAAGUCAAAAACUUAUUUUUGACGCUCAAAACUCAUUCGGAAACCAAAAUAUAUGAUCCAAUAGUGAAAUUUGAGUGCAAACCACAUUUUAAAUUCAUUGGAAUCAUCAAAACUUUCAUCCGAGAUCAUUUUGAUAAAAAGUGGGUCCCACACCUAUUCAUUCAAAUUUUCAACUUUCCAACCAAUAGGUCAAAAUGAGCUUGAGUGCAUUGGGACCCGAACUAAAGGUCUCCCUAAACUAACAUUGAUAUUUCGAAUCUGCUGGCAUAGUCAGAAUUUGCAUCUGGGAUCAUUUCGCUAAAGUUUUCACUUGCAGUUGGGUGCCAUUUGGAACUAGUGAAGACUUCUAAACAGGGAAUUGACUCUAAAAACCAAACGAACUGCACGGUAGUCGAACCGUCGGUCCCAGCAAGUCAUAAAUGACUUGGGGCAGCUAUAGAGAAGCUUAAAUGGUGAAGAUAAGCAUAAAUAUGGAAAAUGACCUGAAGGGUCAUUACAACAUCGCCCCCGAAAGUCAACAGAUAGAAAGAAUCUCAAAAGCUCGAACGGAUGAGGUAUUGGGACCACAUGCUCCAAGCAUGACUUCCCAGGUAACCUCAACGGAGAGAAAGCACUUCUAUGGGAUUUUGCCACAAGUAUCCCUUUUUCAACAAGCACUCUCAUUCUACUUCCAAAAUAGCCAACUCAACUUGACCGACAACUGAACUGGAAAGGCUGACGCACGCAUAUCUGAAUCACAUCAUGCUAAUACCAUCUCUAUAUCCAUAUAAAUCAACAAAGGCUCAUCCAAGACAAAAGCAAACUAAGACAUAAGUCAUAAAACCAACUCCAAAUCCAAAAAUAACAUUCCUUAACAAUUUUACACAUGCUCUCAACUCCAAACUAGGAGGAAAAUCACCUAAGUCUCAUCGACUCCAUCUCAUCAUAGAGAAAUCAAAGAACUAAAGCUGAUCCGCUGAAAGUCCAUAAGGAAAACAUGGAAAGAAGCCCAUAAGGCAUAAUCUGGGCAUACAAAUGGAGAUAAUCAAGGAAUGCAAUCCAUGUCAAUGCUGCAACCAGUCCGAAUGAAAAUCAAACUAAAAUUUUGAAAUCCAAGAUAUAACUACUUAUGAUUGAAUAUUUUUCUCCAGGAUGAUCCAUGUAUCGAGAAAAAAGGCAUACUAAAUCCAACUCAAGUAUAUUACUCCCACUGAGUAAAUCAUCCAAAAUUCUCAAAGAAAACUGAAACUCGAGGUCAAAACUGAAAUAACCAAUACGAGGCCCAUGGGCUAUCAUCUGAACACUUAUCAACUAUAAUCCAACCGACGUCAAGAAUACCAAAUAGACAAACACAGAGUAAGCUCAACCAACCUAUAAAUGAAAUCUGAAUGAAGACAAGUCUAAAAAAAAGUUGCACGCAAGCUCUACAACACCAAGCUGAAAUCUCAAUACCAAGGCUGAAUCGCUCGAUCUCAAAUAUCUUAAACCAAAACUAAGAAUGGGUAGGCACUAAUGAUCCAAAUUUAUCAUACUUCCCAAUCGCCAUUCCAAAGCGUCAAGUCAAAACUGAACCAAUAAAACUAUAUCAUUAACAACCAUUCAAAUCAACUUUAGUAUCUAAAUCUAACAUAUCCCAGAUAAAUCAUACCAAGCCACAAUAUAGAAAUCAUGUAAAAAAUUAAAUCGUCGACUGAAAGUGCAAAUAACGUAAUGAUCCAAUAGUGAAAUUUGAGUGCAAACCACAUUUUAAAUUCAUUGGAAUCAUCAAAACUUUCAUCCGAGAUCAUUUUGAUAAAAAGUGGGUCCCACACCUAUUCAUUCAAAUUUUCAACUUUCCAACCAAUAGGUCAAAAUGAGCUUGAGUGCAUUGGGACCCGAACUAAAGGUCUCCCUAAACUAACAUUGAUAUUUCGAAUCUGCUGGCAUAGUCAGAAUUUGCAUCUGGGAUCAUUUCGCUAAAGUUUUCACUUGGCGGCCAUUUGGAACUAGUGAAGACUUCUAAACAGGGAAUUGACUCUAAAAACCAAACGAACUGCACGGUAGUCGAACCGUCGGUCCCAGCAAGUCAUAAAUGACUUGGGGCAGCUAUAGAGAAGCUUAAAUGGUGAAGAUAAGCAUAAAUAUGGAAAAUGACCUGAAGGGUCAUUACAACAUCGCCCCCGAAAGUCAACAGAUAGAAAGAAUCUCAAAAGCUCGAACGGAUGAGGUAUUGGGACCACAUGCUCCAAGCAUGACUUCCCAGGUAACCUCAACGGAGAGAAAGCACUUCUAUGGGAUUUUGCCACAAGUAUCCCUUUUUCAACAAGCACUCUCAUUCUACUUCCAAAAUAGCCAACUCAACUUGACCGACAACUGAACUGGAAAGGCUGACGCACGCAUAUCUGAAUCACAUCAUGCUAAUACCAUCUCUAUAUCCAUAUAAAUCAACAAAGGCUCAUCCAAGACAAAAGCAAACUAAGACAUAAGUCAUAAAACCAACUCCAAAUCCAAAAAUAACAUUCCUUAACAAUUUUACACAUGCUCUCAACUCCAAACUAGGAGGAAAAUCACCUAAGUCUCAUCGACUCCAUCUCAUCAUAGAGAAAUCAAAGAACUAAAGCUGAUCCGCUGAAAGUCCAUAAGGAAAACAUGGAAAUAAGCCCAUAAGGCAUAAUCUGGGCAUACAAAUGGAGAUAAUCAAGGAAUGCAAUCCAUGUCAAUGCUGCAACCAGUCCGAAUGAAAAUCAAACUAAAAUUUUGAAAUCCAAGAUAUAACUACUUAUGAUUGAAUAUUUUUCUCCAGGAUGAUCCAUGUAUCGAGAAAAAAGGCAUACUAAAUCCAACUCAAGUAUAUUACUCCCACUGAGUAAAUCAUCCAAAAUUCUCAAAGAAAACUGAAACUCGAGGUCAAAACUGAAAUAACCAAUACGAGGCCCAUGGGCUAUCAUCUGAACACUUAUCAACUAUAAUCCAACCGACGUCAAGAAUACCAAAUAGACAAACACAGAGUAAGCUCAACCAACCUAUAAAUGAAAUCUGAAUGAAGACAAGUCUAAAAAAAAGUUGCACGCAAGCUCUACAACACCAAGCUGAAAUCUCAAUACCAAGGCUGAAUCGCUCGAUCUCAAAUAUCUUAAACCAAAACUAAGAAUGGGUAGGCACUAAUGAUCCAAAUUUAUCAUACUUCCCAAUCGCCAUUCCAAAGCGUCAAGUCAAAACUGAACCAAUAAAACUAUAUCAUUAACAACCAUUCAAAUCAACUUUAGUAUCUAAAUCUAACAUAUCCCAGAUAAAUCAUACCAAGCCACAAUAUAGAAAUCAUGUAAAAAAUUAAAUCGUCGACUGAAAGUGCAAAUAACGUAUCCAAUAUCUGCUGGAGGGCAUGAGCUAUCAAAACAUACUCAAAAAUUCUCAAGACCUAAAACCACACUAGUGAAGGUAAACAGUUUAGCAACUCGGAGAAAUGCAAAUUAAGCCGGAACUAACCAAUACAAUACCCCAUCUAGGUAAAGAAACAACCAUAAACACGUAUCAUCGAGGAGAAUCACUCCACCAAGCCUCACUAGGCCAAACAAAUGCUGAAAUAGGGAUUUCCUGAAUCCACCCAAGAACCACAUUAUCAAAGAAGAAAUACCAAUCUCAAGGCCAAGGUCAAAGUCAAGACAAUCACCAGAGUACGAACAACUCAAGCUAAAGAGAUUCUAAUUUUCCAACUUUAGAAGCGGUCACAGGAAAGGCCACCUGCCUUUAUCUUCCAACUCCUCUAGAUAAAACCAUAUCACAACAACAAAAGAGUAUCCAAUCUCCACACUAACAACAAGGCGAGCCAUCACAAAGGAACGAACCCAUCAAAUCUAAGAGAUAAAUCCACGACACCUCAAUAUCGAUGUCAAAACUACUAUCGAGCGAUGAAAUAGUCACAACCAAAGAAUGGACCUCAAACUAAUUAAUCUAACAAAAGGGUUAUAUUGGAAGGGAUAGCCAAAACACAAUCCUUCACAAACCAGGAGGCAAGUCUAAGAAUCUCAAACUCAAAACGGGAAACAUAACUAAAUUGCCGACUCAAAUCCAAAAAAAUCACGGAAGGUCAACUUACAUUCGAUACCAAAACACGUGCCCGAACAAAUCUAAUAAAGCUAACCAAGAGGGAACACAGUUAACCUCACCAGGAUAGGGGAAAGAACUCGCCAAAUUAGGCUAUAUCUACUCUAGCCACCAAUUAGUAUCACAAUAAAAUAAAACUCUAACUAGAUAACAUUAGUCUAUACAGCUAGCCAACGAGAACCAAAUUCAUCAUGUAACAACAUCAAGUAAUAAUAUCAAGUAAUAUCAAUAAUUUCACACAGUGGUAGCAAUAGCAAUAGCAAUAUCAAGAUCAACAUUCUGAACAGGUGAUACUAAAAUGAACAUCAAUAUCAUGUACUACUCAAGGGCCACAACAGGGGUAACGUGCCAAUAUAAAUGGGACUUGAACCCAAAACCACACCCAUAGGGAAACAACAUCAAUAUAGAUCUACUCCAUCCACUACUAAAAAAAAUAAAUCACGGAGUAGUAAUAUAAUCAUGAAUUCAACAAUAAGGCACAUAAUGACCGAUAUAAAUUCAUCAAGGCAUAUAAUUAUCAAUGGGUAUGAAAACCCCAAUACACAUAAUACGAGAUAAAUGUGAGAAGUAAAAAUGCUCCAAUCUUGGCAACAUUUUUAGUCACAUGACUAACGGGCAUAGGGAAAAUAAAUUCGAACGGGUCUAAAUCGGAUUGACUGACUGAAUCAUCAACUAAGGCGCCAAACGCACCAUCUAUAACUAAAGAUGCCACAACAUCACGAGCUGAUCUAAAUGAGCUGAAUAAUUGGAAUUCAUGUCAGGGAUACUCCCUAGACUAGUAGUUGGUUUCUCUAUAGUCAUAGUAUUUCCUAAAGCAUCAAUAUUGAGAGAACACAAACUAAUCCUAAAUGGAUGUCCAACUGAUGCUGAGAGAAAUCCGCAAAUUUAUGUCCAAACUUCCUAUAUCACAACCUAUUUUAGGAACUCUAGGCUAACGGGGAAUGCAUGCUAACUCUAGCUGAUCAUCUAUCUCAUACCAGGGGCAUUCUCUGAACGAGUAUCUUAUCACAACAUAACCAAAUCAAGAAUCUAAAAUACUUUGAGAUACUACCCCUCAUAAUCCAGAAUGGUCACCAUGGCCCAAAAAACAUACCACACUAUGAAAGUCUGAUGGGGACUCAACCCAAAUCCUUUUUAGCUACCACUGAAGGUAUUCGAUAUCCAUCUCUGACUCUCUAGUUGAUACUACACUAAAAUUCUGGAAAAUCGUAUUGGAGUUUUAUCUGCAUGUGUUGACAAUACCGCAUCGUCCUUCAAGGAUAGAAUAGAGUAAAAGAAUAUGUUCAAGGUUGAUAGGAAUGCGGACACACGAUAAGGAGUCAUGAAGUGAAUUUCCUAAAAUGUCACUGUAGCCUCCCGAAGAUAGGUUACGGAAGCCUCUACACCGAUCCGCAGAACUCUACAAACACUUAGCUCUUGUAUUAAUACACCGAAGAAACCUAGGCUCUGAUACCAAUUUUUCACGACCCAACUUUUCAGGUCAUGAUGGCACCUACCAUAACCCACUAGUGGGAAAGCCAACCUGUAGUUCAGAACAGCUAGUAACGGACUACUCAAUAACAUAAGGAAAAGAAUACGGAAUAUAUGAGAUAAAGAUCAAUACAUAGAUGAAUCCCAAAAUCUGGUGGUAUCAGUACAAGAGCUUCUAACCAUAAUAAGAGUACAAAAGUGAUAUAUCAAGGAGAAAUACACUGAUUCAACUUAGCUCUGAAUACAACUUAGAGGCUAGUCUAAUACAUAGGAGAGCGAUAAGUAAUACGCCGAAUGUCAGGAGCUCACUCUAAGUCUCCGAAUCAGGACUACUCCACACGAUGCAAACACCAACAGUGAUAACUCAUACUAUGAUCUGCAGGCUGCGGAGGUGUAGUAUGAGUACCAAACAAAUGGUACUCAGUAGGCAACUGCCAACUGAGCUCCAAAGAUAAAGUAGAUAUAUAUAACAUAUAAACAGAAUGGAAACUACAACCAAGAGUCCAUAAAUCAUGUAAUAAGUCAAUGAGAAUAACAAGGGACAACUAUCCUGUUCAUGUCCAAGAGUCUAACAUAAUAAGACUAAGGAAGUAUCAAGGAGACUAUCUUAUUCCAGCUACAUUCAAUAUAUGCCAAAGCUAUACCGUAUAUCCCAGGUCAAUAUACAGAUAAAGAGAGAAAGAAAGAUAUAUUGUAAUAUACAAAGAGAAGGAACGACUAUACAAUAUGAACAAUGAAGAAAGGGAUAUCCGAUAGUACCAUGACUUCAUAUAGCAAGAUAUAUAUAUAUAUAUAUAUAUGUAUAUAUAUAUAAUACAUAUAAACAGGAGGUCAUCUCAAACAUAACCUAGAUCGUCAUGUUCUCAUUGUAAGACCUCAUUAUAAUACUAUCAUGAUUCAAUACCAACAUACUCAGGAUUUCUAAUCCAUAUAGCUAGACAUAGAAUAAUCGUGCAUAGUAAUGUAAUCAUAAGAUAGCAAAGAUCGAAGACAUACCUCAAUCCCAAUACCGGAUCCAUGAGCAAUCUAUCAUAGGCUAGCCAUAAUAAUGAUCAUAACAAUGAUAAUAAUAAUAUCAAUAACAUCGUAAAUAAUUGGCUACUCCGGACAACCAAAUACCUAGCCGAGCCUAUGCGUACACCCACCGCCCCAAACUCGAAAGGUUCAAUCAACAUAUAACAACACAAGGCAUAUUUUUCACCCAUAUCUAUGCAACCGUCCCAUACUGGCUGAUAAACAUAGGUGCAUACUAGUGCUAGGCGAUGCACAUAUAAGAAUGAAUGCAAAGUAUACCAUCAAUAUCACAACUCAUAAUAACUGUCCUCAUUAGGACCAUCAUCAUCGUAAUCAACCUCCGGCCUUACUGGGAAUCAAUAUCAUCUUGAUAGUAUCCUCUGGACUUGAACUGGGUAUCAAUAUCAUCAUAAUAUCCUCUGGCCUUGUUGGAAAUCAAUAUCAUCUCAAUAGUAUCCUCCAAACUCAAACCGAGUAUCAAUAUCAUUAUAAUAUCCUCUGGCCUUGCUGAGUAUCAGUAUGUCAGCACAAUAUUCUCCGGGCUGGUCGGGUACCAAUGUAUCAUCAUAACUCUCGACACAUAAAUAUAGGCAUAUAAUAGGUGCACAGACACAAGCCGAUAUACUCAUAACCAUAAAGAUGUGUAUCUUAUCAAUACAUUCUAACUACUCGUUAUUAGCUAACCAACACUUAUUAUUAUUUAAAUGCUAGUUCGCUAGUCAUCACAUAACCUCUAGUUAUUAGCCUAAACAUUAUCCUUCACAUAAUCCUUGUACAAGGGAUAACAACUAACCACUAUUCAUUUAAUAGUAACAUCUAACAUCUAGUCAAGGUUCAUCAUUAGACCAAAACCGUCAUUUAUCCACCAUUCAUUAUUAUAAACUAUUCAUCCUAUUUUUGUUAAUCAUUGCUAGACAACACAUUACUACUUGUCGCCUAACCAUCUUUUAUUAAAUGAUAUCAUUCAUUAACUGACCAUCGUUAGCUGCCAUGUUCCAACUAAGCAAGAUUCAUUAACUAAUACAUUAGCUUCCUAGCCAUCAAGUGUAAUAUUCAGCUAAUAGACAACUAGUUACCACAUAAUUUAACCGUCUAACAAGAAGAACAAUCAUAAGAUCACAUUUCAGCUAUAAUCACAUCAUUUAUAAUGGUAAAUAAUCAUGAAUAUACCAAACCUAUGCAUGCCAUCACCAGUAUUGAAUUAGUGGAAUAAUAAUCACCGUACUGCAUCUUCCUUUCUCCUAUACUGGAGAGAGGUGUAUACAAAUAUAUACAUAUUUAUAUUUAUAAAUCCCAGUCACAUAAUUCACAAUGAUAAACACUUCUUGGAUAUUUAAUCAGUACUAUAACACGGCCCUUGGCCCAUAUACAUUUCCAGAACUCAUAUCAAUAAUCAUAUGUAUAAGCCGUAGCAUACCACUAAUUAUCUCACAUAUAUGAGGCAUAAUAUCAAUAAAUAUAUUAUCAUCUCUCACACAAGAGACAUCUCAUAUCUAGGAGGCACAAUAUAGAUAGACGUGUAAUUAUCUAUAGGAUAUCAUAUAUCAAUAGGUCAUACGUCAAGAGAAUGAGGAGUAUUGCUUCUUUAGGCCAAUUUACAUAUCCAAAAGGACCAUCAUCUCUAUAGGUCCAACAAUAAUGACUAAAGGAAUUCGCAACUUUAUAGGCCAAACAUCAAGUCUAAGAGGAAAUAACAUCUUUAUAGGCCAAUCAUCAAGUCUAAGAGGAAAUAGUAUCUCUAUAGGCCACAUAAUAUAUCUAGGUUGAAUAUCUCUAAAUUCCCAAUAUCACUUCCACAAGUAGUAUCAUAACCAUAACUAAAUAGCCACAAUCUUGAAAUAUCAAUACAAGUUACCAAGUUAUGAAGUAACCUUAUUCCAAGGUUUACUAGCUCAUAUAUGUCUAACAUCCGAACUAAGUCCACAAGACUUAACAUAAGCUGAGGCCUAAGUGGGCCGAAUGAUCCCACUUUUAAUACAUAAUUUCCAUAAUUAGGCAUACUAUGGACCAAACUAGGCUAAGGUAUCUAGUUCAUAUUCUAGAUAUCAAGCAAGCCAUAUUAAAGCUUAAGAUAAUAACUUCAACUAGAAACAAGGGUACUCAAGUCAACUCUACUAAACUUAUGAUUCCAAAACAAUCACACUAACCCAAAAGGCUAAAUAUACAAAUCAUGUUUCAAAUGCUAAAACCAUAUUCCAAGCAUAGCAUUAUAUCAUAUCUAUGCUACAAAUUUACCCAAACUAGGGAGAAGGCAAUAGGAUUGUACAAGGGUAUUAAGUAAUUCAACCAAUGGGUCAAACCCCCUAUCUAAUCCCCAAACUUAUAUGUAUAAUCAAUACUAAGUCAUUCUAUCCAAUAUCAAUCUUAACAUUCACAUUCACACGCAAUAUAUAUCAUACAUCAUCCAUGAAGAAGAGUAAACAGAAGCCUACCUCAAGGCUAAACCUCAAAAUCACAUUUCAAGCACCACAUGCUCGUCUUCACUUAACAAUCCUCAAAAUGUCAUCACACUAUCAAAAAUAUAAUCUACUCAUCAAUACGAGUCUAACGAUACCCAUAUUGCACUAUUAUUUUCGGGUCCCAAAACGACACCAAAAACCCCAAGUGGAUCCCACGAACGAAAAUCACAUUUCCGAGGUCAACCCAAUGCUCAUACAUUACCAAGGAAUCAUAACCCUCAAUGAAUUGGUGAAAACAAACUAAAUUUAGGGUUAAAUCAAGCCCUAAGCUAAAUUGGGUUUUUGGGUCAAGAACUAAGAAAUUCACCAAUAAAGUGAUAAAAUCUUACCUUAAUCCGGAUGAUAAUCAUGAUAAAAAAUGUUUACCAAGCUCACUAGGCACCCACAAGACUUAGUUUUGAGUUAUCAUACCCAUUUAGGGUUUUAGGCUCUUAAAAAUGAGUCAAAAAUGGUGAAAAACGCGGCUAUAGGGUGCUUAAAUACCCAUACCAGCUUUGGAGAUCCGCAGUCGCUGUCUGGGCCAUCAGCAAAGUCAAGAACUUAUUUUUGACCCUCGAAACUCAUUCGAAAACCAAAAUAUAUGAUCCAAUAGUGAAAUUUGAGUGCAAACCACAUUUUAAAUUCAUUGGAAUCAUCAAAACUUUCAUCCGAGAUCAUUUUGAUAAAAAGUGGGUCACACACCUAUUCAUUCAAAUUUUUAACUUUCCGACCAAUAGGUCGAAUUGAGCUCGGGUGCAUUGGGACUCGAACCAAAGGUAUACCUAAAAUAAAAUCGAUAUUCUGAAUCUGCUGGCGUAGUCAGAAAUUAUAUCCAGGAUCAUUUCACUGAAGUUUUCACUCGGUAGUCACUUGGAACCAGUGAAGACUUCUAAACAGGGAAUUGACUCUAAAAACCAAACGAACUGCCCGAUAACCGAACCGUCGGUCCUAGCAAGUCAUAAAUGACUUGGGACAGCUAUAGAGAAGCUCAAACAGUGAAAAUAAGCAUAAAUAUGAAAAAUGACCUGAAUUGUCAUUACAAAAAGUGUCUCUUUCGGCUCCGAAAUUGAAUAUAGAUUUGAAUCCAUAGACGAAACUCUAGCCUCGCCCUCAUAUAUUAACCAACUGCACUCCAAUAUUCUAAUUUAAUACCAUAAAAAUUAAUACUAGUAAUUAUCAAUUUUCAUCAUUUCUAAAACACAUACAAGAAAUUUAUAUAAACUACAAGAAAUAACCAUAAUAAAAUACUAAGAUCCGAAAUAAUCACAAUAUCAUAAUCAUGGCCUUAGGCCCAUACACAUUUCUGGAACUCAUAUCAAUAGUCAUAUGUAUAAGUCCUAGCAUACCACUAAUCAUCUCACAUAUAUGAGGCAUAAUAUUAAUAAAUAUGUUAUCAUCUCUCACACAAGAGACAUCUCACAUCUAGGAGGCAUAAUAUAAAUAGACGUGUAAUUGUCUAUAGGAUAUCAUAUAUCAAUAGGUCAUACGUCAAGACAAUGAGGAAUAUUAUUUCUCUAGGCCAAUUUACAUAUCCAAAAAGACCAUCAUCUCUAUUGGUCCAACAAUCAUGACUAAAGGAAAUAGCAACUCUAUAGGCCAAAUAUCAAGUCUAAGAGGAAAUAGCAUCUUUAUAGGCUAAUCAUUAAGUCUAAGAGGAAAUAACAUCUCUAUAGGCCGCAUAAUGUAUCUAGGAGGAAUAUCUCUAAAUUCCCAAUAUCACUUCCACAAGUAGUAUCAUAACCAUAACUAAAUAGCCACAAUCUUGAAACAUCAAUACAAGUUACCAAGUUAUGAAGUAACUUUAUUCUAAGGUUUACUAGCUCAUAUAUGUCUAACAUCCCCAACUAAGUCCACAAGACUUAACAUAAGCUUAGGCCUACGUGGGCCGAAUGAUCCCACUUUUAAUCCAUAAUUAAGCAUACUAUGGCCCAAACUAGGCUAAGGUAUCUAGUUCAUCUUCUAAAUAUCAAUCAAGCCAUAUUAAAGCCUAAGAAAGUAACUUCGACUAGAAACAAUGGUACUCAAGUCAACUCUAUCAAACCUAUGGUUCCAAAACUAUCACACUAGCCCAAAAGGCUAAAUAUACAAAUCAUGUGGGACUCGAACCAAAGGUAUACCUAAAAUAAAAUCGAUAUUCUGAAUCUGCUGGCGUAGUCAGAAAUUAUAUCCAGGAUCAUUUCACUGAAGUUUUCACUCGGUAGUCACUUGGAACCAGUGAAGACUUCUAAACAGGGAAUUGACUCUAAAAACCAAACGAACUGCCCGAUAACCGAACCGUCGGUCCUAGCAAGUCAUAAAUGACUUGGGACAGCUAUAGAGAAGCUCAAACAGUGAAAAUAAGCAUAAAUAUGAAAAAUGACCUGAAUUGUCAUUACAAAAAGUGUCUCUUUCGGCUCCGAAAUUGAAUAUAGAUUUGAAUCCAUAGACGAAACUCUAGCCUCGCCCUCAUAUAUUAACCAACUGCACUCCAAUAUUCUAAUUUAAUACCAUAAAAAUUAAUACUAGUAAUUAUCAAUUUUCAUCAUUUCUAAAACACAUACAAGAAAUUUAUAUAAACUACAAGAAAUAACCAUAAUAAAAUACUAAGAUCCGAAAUAAUCACAAUAUCAUAAUCAUGGCCUUAGGCCCAUACACAUUUCUGGAACUCAUAUCAAUAGUCAUAUGUAUAAGUCCUAGCAUACCACUAAUCAUCUCACAUAUAUGAGGCAUAAUAUUAAUAAAUAUGUUAUCAUCUCUCACACAAGAGACAUCUCACAUCUAGGAGGCAUAAUAUAAAUAGACGUGUAAUUGUCUAUAGGAUAUCAUAUAUCAAUAGGUCAUACGUCAAGACAAUGAGGAAUAUUAUUUCUCUAGGCCAAUUUACAUAUCCAAAAAGACCAUCAUCUCUAUUGGUCCAACAAUCAUGACUAAAGGAAAUAGCAACUCUAUAGGCCAAAUAUCAAGUCUAAGAGGAAAUAGCAUCUUUAUAGGCUAAUCAUUAAGUCUAAGAGGAAAUAACAUCUCUAUAGGCCGCAUAAUGUAUCUAGGAGGAAUAUCUCUAAAUUCCCAAUAUCACUUCCACAAGUAGUAUCAUAACCAUAACUAAAUAGCCACAAUCUUGAAACAUCAAUACAAGUUACCAAGUUAUGAAGUAACUUUAUUCUAAGGUUUACUAGCUCAUAUAUGUCUAACAUCCCCAACUAAGUCCACAAGACUUAACAUAAGCUUAGGCCUACGUGGGCCGAAUGAUCCCACUUUUAAUCCAUAAUUAAGCAUACUAUGGCCCAAACUAGGCUAAGGUAUCUAGUUCAUCUUCUAAAUAUCAAUCAAGCCAUAUUAAAGCCUAAGAAAGUAACUUCGACUAGAAACAAUGGUACUCAAGUCAACUCUAUCAAACCUAUGGUUCCAAAACUAUCACACUAGCCCAAAAGGCUAAAUAUACAAAUCAUGCUCCAAAUGCUCAAACCAUAUUCCAAGCAUAGCAUUAUAUCAUAUCUAUGCUACAAAUUUACCCAAACUAGGGAGAAGGAAAUAGGAUUCUAUAAGGGUAUUAAGUAAUUCAACCUACGGGUCAAAACCCCCAUCUAAUCCCCAAACUUAUGUCUCCAAUAUCAAUCUUAACAUUCACAUGCAAUAUAUAUCAUACAUCAUCCAUGAAGAAGAGUAGACAGAAGCCUAUCUCAAGGCUAAACCGCAAAAUCACACUUCAAGCACCACAUGCUCGUCUUCACUUCACAAUCCCCAAAAUGCCAUCACACUAUCAAAAAUAUAAUCUAAUCAUCAAUACGAGUCUAACGAUACCCAUAUUUCACUAUUGUGCUUCGGGUCCAAAAAUGACACCAAAACCCCCAAGUAGGUCCCACGUACGGAAAUCGCGUUUCCAAGUUCAACCCAAUGCUCAUACAUUACCAAGGAAUCAUAACCCUCAAUGAAUUGGUGAAAACAAAUCAAAUUUAGGGCUAAAUCAAGCCCUAAGCUAAAUUGGAAUUUUGGGUCAAGAACUAAGAAAUUCAUCAAUAAAGUGAUAAAAUCUUACCUUAAUCUGGAUGAUAAUCAUGAUAAAAGAUGUUUACCAAGCUCCCUAGACACCCACAAGACUCAAUUUUGAGUUAUCAUACCCAUUUAGGAUUUUAGGCUCUAAAAAAUGAGUCAAAAAUGAUGAAAAAUGCGGCUAUAGGGUGCUUAAAUACCCAUACCAGCUUUGGAGAUCCUUAGUCGCUGUCUGGGUCAUGAACAAAGUCAAAAAUUUAUUUUUGACCCUCAAAACUCAUUCAGAAAUCAAAAUAUAUGAUGUAAUAGUGAAAUUUGAGUGUAAACCACAUUUCAAAUUCAUUAGAAUCAUCAAAGCUUUCACUUGAGAUCAUUUCGAUAAAAAAUGUGUCCCACACCUAUUCAUUCAAAUUUUCAACUUUCCGACCAAUAAGUCGAAAUGAGCUCGGGUGCAUUGGGACUCGAACCAAAGGUCUAUCUAAACUAAAAUCGAUAUUUCGAAUCUACUGGCGUAGUCAGAAUUUAUAUCCGGAAUCAUUUCGCUGAAGUUUUCACUCGGUGGCCAUUUGGAACCAGUGAAGAUUUCUAAACAGGGAAUUGGCUCUAAAAACCAAACGAACUGCCCGGUAACCGAACCAUCAGUCCUAGCAAGUCAUAAAUGACUAGGGGCAGCUAUAGAGAAGCUCAAACAGUGAAGAUAAGCAUAAAUAUGGAAAAUGGCCUGAAGGUUCAUUACAAAAAGUGUCUCUUUCGGCUCCAAAAUUGAAUAUAGAUUUGAAUCCAUAUACGAAACUCUAGCCUCGCCCUCAAUAUUCUAAUAUACCAACUACACUCCAAUAUUCUAAUUUAAUACCUGAAAAAUUAAUACUAGUAAUUAUCAAUUUUCAUCAUUUCUAAAACACAUAAAAGAAAUUUAUAUAAACUACAAGAAAUAACCAUAAUAAAAUCCUAAUCGUCCAAUCUUUAAUCAAAACUCAAUCUCAACCGUCCAUACUCCUUAUACUAUUCGAACUUCCAAUCCCCGCCAAAAAAAACUGGCUUCCUUUCUUACAUGCUCUGUUUCAAUGGCUACCAUACCCGAAUCCGCAAAAAAGCUCUUGGAACCAGACCCGUACCUGCUUAUCAACCUCGUACACCUCCUUCGUGCGGACGAUGAUAAUCUUCGUAAACCUGCAAGGACUCUGCUCAAUUACACCUUAGAAAACUACCCAAAUUCUUUAAUCCAAAAACUUGUUGAAACAAUUCAAUGUAGCUCAUUAACAUCAUCGAUUACGGUUACUCUGUGUUAUGAUCUCUUACGGGAUAUUUUACCACCCCUUUGGACUAAUCUUUCAUCAACUACGCGAAAUGAAUUGAAGGUUAGUUUGAAUAUCAAGAUUUGGGUUGAAAGAGAUUACGAAAUACUCAAGGCUUGUUCUUCUUGUGUAUCGAGUUUAGCGUGUUUGCUUUUUCCGAAACAUGAAUGAGAUGUUUUGUUUUACUCUAUGUUUAAGUACCUGGGUUCGAAUUCUUGGAACAGAAAAUUUGGUGCUCUGUUUUUAUUGAAUGAAUUGAUACCGAAAUGUCGGGAGGUUUUCAUACCGCAUGUUGAUUAUUUGAUUAAGAGGUUUAUGGAUCUUAUGCCUAUUAUAUCAGAAGAUCAUCAGUGUGGGGUUUUUGCUGCUAAAGCCACUGUGAAAUUGAUUAUGUACUUUUCAAACCCCGCGAGUUAUUCCAAGUUUUAUGAGCUUUUAAGUCAAGUGUUAGUGAUUUUUUCUGUGGCGCUUCGAGAGGAGGAGCUUGUGUGCAGUCUUCUUGAGGAUAUGAUUGUUUUAGCUGGUGUAGAGACAGCGUUUUUUGAAGUUCAUUUGGACGUUGUGAUUAUGUGUAUGGUGAGGCUAGCUGAAAAUUUGGAGUUAGGGGCAAAGUUAAGUCAACUUGCUGUAGAGUUUGUUGUUACUGUUGCUGAAGAUAGGGAUGAUAAAGAUUGGAAAAUUCACCAUGCGGCUGUUACCGCGAUUGGGGUUAUUUCAGUGGGAUGUUCAAAUGUAAUAGUAAUAAGUUCAAAGAAUAUGGAGUACAUUCUACAGGCUAUUGUGAAACUAAUCCGUGAUAAGCACCCUCGAGUGCAAUGGGCAGCGAUUCAAGCAAUUGGUCGUAUAUCAAUGUUUAUGAGCCCGCAGUUUCAACAGCAAUAUCAUCAGCAGGUUCUUCCAGCUUUAAUAGAAGUAUUGGAUGAUUUUGAUAAUCCCAGGUUGCAGGUAAAUUCUUGAUGUUUCACUGUUAUCGCAUCUUGUUAGUGACAUAUAUGACCAAUGUAUUAGCUCUUGGCAACUUUUACUAAUAGUAUAAUUUGCAUUUAGCUUUUGAGUUAUCGUUGCCUAUUAAUAUUUUCUCGUUUUUAUAGACCCGUGCAACUUCAACGAUACUAUUGUUCAGUCUCCAUUGCAGUGCAGAUAUCUUGAAACUAUAGUGAGUAAAUUAGUCGUGUUUCUAGAGGUAAUGUCACCAUUACUAAUCUACAACAUAUUUAUUCGUUCACAUGUAUAAGCGUAGUUGCUGGUAAAGUUGCUGUCACGUGACCAGGAAGUCACAGGUUCAAGCCUUGAAAACAACCUCGGGUUCAAGCCUUGGAAACAGCCUCUGGCAGAAAUGUUGUUGGGUUUAAUUGGUGUGAAUGGAAAAUGGAGAGACACAACCUUUGAGCAAAAGACAUAUUGUUUUGGAAAAUGUGUGAUUGUUCAGAUAGUUGUAUCAGUUCAGAAAAAGACAUAAUAUUUCGAAUGAACUGACAUGACUCUUCCAAAGCAUACACCUUUUAAGUGAACCAUUGCCACCUUUCAGAAGAGACAUCUGAUGGCUAUAUAAACCUGCUUUCAUCCACAGGUUUAGAUAUGAAUGAAAAAUUUUCUGAAAUAAAAACUCCUGUUGUCUUCAAAAUAUUCCUUGUGAACAAUCAAAUCGUUAAGUGAGUUCGACGAAUUCAAUUAUUUGAGGUACCACUAUAGUUGGAUUGAAAGCCAUUUUAUCCUUGGAGGAAGAUUCCAAAACCUCGGGUACAGUGAGGGGAAUUAUUCCUUAAGGACACUCCGUGAAGUCGGGAGACUUGACUUUAUAUUUCUGUUUCAUCUUAAUUUCUGAAAAAAAAUAAAACACACUUCUUAUAAAUAUCACUUUGAUCUUGUGUUGAGGGUUUUUUUUGUAUUUCAUAGUGUUCUUGUUUUAAACUUGAACUAGUGUUGAAGUUGUUGUGCCUAAAUACAGAUUCUUGUACCCGAAAAUACCAUAAGAUAACAAUCUUAAGGAAUAAUCUUUUCAGAAUCUGUAUUGCUUGUUUUUGCAGAUUAAAACUUUAAGCUUUCUACUCCGUUUGAACUUAACUAGUGAUUCAAAGACAUAAAAUCUUCAUCACAAGUUAAAGAUCAUUCAGUUGACGAUUGAAAGUCAUAAAAACUUCAUCGUUAACUAGAAAUAAGAAGAAGAGUUUAAAGUUGUUUAACUUUAUAAGUAGUAUUCUGAAAACACUAAAUUUUAUUGUCUUGUGGUGACAGAAAAAUGACUAACGAAAGUCAAAUGCAAGAUGCGGCUACGACUGUGGGGGCAACUAGUAUUGCCUCAACAAGUCGAGAAAUGCUCUGAAACCAAUGGCACCUGCAGAGAAGCCCAAAAAAUUUGCGGGCAUUGACUUUAAGCGAUGGCAGCAAAAGAUAUUUUUUUCCUCACCAAUCUAUGCCUUCAAAGGUUCACUACUGAGGAUGCUCCUGAGGUGCCCGAGGGAACCUUGGACAAAGAGCAUUUCAUGAUUGUAGAAGCUUGGAAACACUCAGACUUCCUUUGCAGGAAUUAUAUAUUGAGUGGUAUCCAAGAUGACCUCUACAAUGUUUACAGUGGAACUAAGACAUCGAAGGAAUUGUGGGGGGAACUAGAACAAAAAUAAAAGACAGAGGAUGCGGGAAUUAAGAAAUUCUUUGUUGCAAGGUUCUUGAACUUUAAAAUGAUAGAUAGCAAAUCGGUUGUCUCUCAAGUGCAGGAAUUGCAAGUAAUCAUUCAGCAGAAGGUAUAUCUUUGAAAAAUGCCUUAGUUGAACAAAUUGAAAAUGUUCUUAGUACUCACAUAAUCUAUUUUAUAGGUUCGAUUGUGAAUGAUACAUUUCAAGUAGCAGCGAUUAUUGAGAAGCUAUCACCUAUGUAGAAAGACUUCACAUAUUGUAGAAGAUGACCAAAACGAUUUUAGGAAAACGAAAAAAUUCAAGGGAAGGUGCUUCAACUGUGGAAAGAUUGACCAUAAGUCCACGGAUUGUCGUGCCCCUAAGAAAGGCAAGAAAAAAGACCAAGCAAAUAUGAGUGAGUCCAACAAAGAAUAUGAUGAUUUGUGUGCUAUAUUUUCAGAAUACAACUUGGUGGAGAAUCCUCGCGAGUGGUGGAUGGAUUUUGGUGCCACCCGCCAUGUUUAUGCCAACAAAAAGUUGUUUUUGUCAUUCGCUCCGGCUCAAGUGGAAGAAAUGAUCUACAUGGCUAACUCCGCUAUGGCUAAGGUAGAAGGAACAGGAAAAGUGGACUUAAAAAUGACUUCAGGAAAGGUUUGACACUUAACAAUGUCUUGUACAUUUCAGAGUUACGUAGGAACUUGAUUUCUGUUUCACUUCUAGAUAAGAAUAGAUUCAAAUGUGUAACCGUUUCUGAAAAAAUUGUAAUUAGCAAAGGAGAAGUGUAUGUAGAAAAAGGCUAUCUCACCGAGGCCCUUUAUAUAAUGAAUGUAAUGAAUAUUGGAAUAAAUAAAAAUUCAAAUUCUUCUUACUUGUUUGAGUCUUAUAAUUUAUGGCUUGAACGUUUAGGCCAUGUUAAUUACAAAACGUUACGAAAAUUGAUUAACUUAGAAGUUUUACCAAACUUUGAGUGCAAUAAAUCAAAGUGUCAAACGUGUGUGAAAUUAAGUAAGCAAAGCAUCCUUAUAAGUCUGUUGAAAGGAAUUCCAAUCCUUUAGACUUAGUACACACUGACAUUUGUGAUAUGAAGUCAACACCAUCACAUGGUGGGAAAAAGUAUUUCAUAACUUUUAUUGAUGAUUUCACUAAAUAUUGUUAUGUCUACUUGCUAAAUAGUAAGGAUGAAGCAAUAGAUGCAUUUAGGCAAUACAAAACUGAAGUAGAAAAUCAGUUAAAGAAAAAGAUCAAAAUGGAUAAGAAGUGAUAGGGGUGGAGAAUAUGAAUCUCUCUUCGCCGAAAUAUGUGUAAAGAAUGGAAUUGUUCAUCAAAUUAUAUCCUCGUAUUCACCUCAAUCUAAUGGAAUUGCGAAAAUAAAAAACCAAACUUUGAAGGAAAUAAUGAAUGUCUUGCUUAUAAGUUUUGGUUUACCUCAAAACUUAGGGGGAGGCUAUCCUUACAGCCAUUCGUAUACUCAGUAGAGUUUCCCAUAUUAAAACACAAUCAAUUGCUUAUGAAAAAUGGAAAGGAAGAAAACCCAACUUGAAAUAUUUCAAAGUGUGGGGGUGUCUAGCAAAGGUCCAAGUUCCUAUGCCUAAAAGGGUUAAGAUAGGACCUAAGACUAUGAAUUGUAUCUUCAUAGGAUAUGCUAAAAGCAGUAAAGUAUGUCGGUUUUUGGUUCAUAAAUUCGAACAUCCGGAUAUAAAUGAAAAUACAGUAAUUGAAUCAGAUAAUGCUGAAUUCUUUGAAAACAUUUACCCAUAUAAAACUAGACAUGAACAGUCUAGUGAAGGGUCUAAACGACAUCGAGAUGAACCAAGUGAGAAUCUACAUAAUGAAGAGAAUGCAAGACGUAGUACAUGUCAAAGAACUUUUACUACAUUUGGAUCAGAUUUUGUAACAUUUCUCUUAGAAAAUGAGCCUCAAACAUUUGAAAAAAUGAUGUCGUCGUCAGACUCAUCCUUUUAGAAAAAGGCAGUCAAUAGUGAGAUUAAUUUAAUCUUAAGAAACCAUACGUGAAAAUUGGUUGAUCUUCCUCCAGGAAAUUAACCUUUAGGUUCUAAAUGGAUCUUCAAAAGGAAAAUAGUCAUCUAACCUACAUGCCCCAAAUGACGCAUUAUAGUUUAAUUGGGGUCCAAUCUAUGCCCUGAUUGGAAUGGUGUCAAUACCGCGCCAGUGGUAAAACAUGUGAGUAACCCUAAUAUAAUAGGUAACUCUAGUGAGAACGGUGGGAACCCUCAUAUAGCAGGUUAAGCCACCUCAUCUACCCUCAUAUAGCAGGCUAUGAUAUCUCAACAUAUGUUGGCUACAUGGUUCUGGAACGCAAGGAUUGCUUCUAAGAAUCACACCCUCAUAUAACAGGUGAGUUCCCAUCCUUGGGUUUACUCGGUGCUAAUUUCUACUCCCAUCUGAAUAGACAUUGAGCAUGAUUUACUGAAUUGAAUGUGGACUGAGUUACUGAAUUCCGUUGACUGACGGAAUACUACUAAAAUUACUGAGUUUUCCUAAGUCAUGAGACUGACUGAAUUCUACUGAACAUGGCUUGACUGAGAGUAUCUUGAAAACAUGACAUAGGCUCUAGGUAUACAGCUAAAUUGUUGGAUACAAGUACCCCCAGGACUCGAUGGAAAGAAACUGACAAAGCAUGACUUUCUUGAAUACAUGACCAACAUCACAGUCCAUAAUUCAUUUAUUAAGGCAUUUCAUUAAACAUUUGAUAUGCAUAAACUUGUACAUAAAUGGGGAUUUCAUAAUAUCAUACUAGUUGGGCACUUUUCCUUCAUAUAGACAUUUAAUCAAACACAUGGUAAGCAUAGAAUAUGUAAACAACAUUAUACAACAAAUAAACAUCGUGAUUCAACUCUAAUUUCAUCACCCAAGGUUUAAUCAUAGUUUCUCAUGAAUCUACAUAUAUACAAAUCAAUUCCACUUAAAAUUAAUUACCCAACAUGGAUUAGAAUUUAAUUAGUCAUUAACAACAUGAACAAAAGCAACCCUAAUAUGAAAUUCAUAAAGAAAUUCAUACACUUGAACUUUGAAAAGAGAUUCUUGGACUUCAUGGACGAAAGGAGUCCAUGAAUGAACACUAUGCAUACCUGGUUGAGUUUCUUGAAGUUAUUGAACUUGAAGAAUUUGAAUCUCUUAGUUCUCGAAAAAGAUUUGGAUUUUGUUCUUGGAGAUUAAUAUUAGAGAGAAAACCUUAAUUUUGUUGUUGUAGAAUAAUAAUGAAUUUCUGAGCUUUGGUCGGAUAUAAUUGGGUAUAUAAACGGGUGGUAAAAGACCAAAAAACUCUAAAAAAAAUGACUUUAAAGUCACUGAACGGAACCUGCAACGGUCCGUCGUUCCAAUCGUCGCACGUGGACCAGAAUAGGAUUUCACUACCUAGGUAGCGACGGCUUGGGCGACGGUUCGUCGUAAGUUUGAUGGUCCGUCAACCUAUCCGUCGCACCUUAUCCAGAAGGUUGCCUCACUGCCUUGGCUGCGACGGUCAAGGCGACGGUCCUUCACUAGGUCGACGGUCCAUCAACCUGGUCGUCGCACCUGGGCGAUUCUAACAGCUCUGAGUAAAAUGUCCAUAACUUUUUACUACGAUACCGGAUUAGGACGAAAUUGAUAUUGUUGGAAAGCUAAUUCAAUUUCCCACAUGAAUAAAAGUGAAAAUCUUAAAAAUACCACAUGUACAAAAGUGGAUUCAUCUUUCAAAGAAAGCUUCUAACAUCCUUGGGACAAUUUCAAGCUAGGAAAAAGUACGGGGUAUUACAAUUGGAAUACACGUCUUUAGCUGACAUGCAAAUAUUUUUUGUAGCGCGGUUAAUGUCACUGCUGGGAAUAAAAAGAUCGCGAUAAGAAGUGAACUUCUGGAAGAAAAAGCCUUGGCCUGUCAUAUGCUAUGCAUCUUUGCCUCUGAGUUAAAGGAAGGGGCGGACCCAUGUGUAAUUUUAGGGUGCUCCGGCACCCACUAAACUCGACGUAGAUUAGGUAUAAUUAUAUAAGAAACACAGAAUAAAUUGUAUAAUUUAUUAAAAAUCACUCAAAGAACAAACAUAUGAUUGGGUGCAGUGGCUUGAGGAUGUGACUCCCAUGUCCAGUUUUCUAGGUUCAAAUCCCUAUAGCUACAUACUAUUUUUUAUAAAAAAAAUUUGAACACCCACAAACUUGAAUUCGUGGGUCCGCCACUAGUUAAAGGAAGGACUGCAUUUGUGGGUUAAUGAGGUCUGUCUAGAAAAUAACAAUGGUUACAAAGGAGCCCGAAGAUUUUUAUCUAACUUGUGGUUUAUGCAGGUUGUUAGUGCCUUAGUUCCGAAUCUUACCUUUGAAUUCAGAGAAGACGUAAGAACAGCUGCCAUUUCUGGUAAAUUUCUACGUCUUCUAUUCAUUCCUUUCCCUGUUAUAAACUAAAUCUGAUGUUUUCUAAUUGCAUUUAUUUCUUUUGUAGCAAUGCCAUUACUAUUAAAUUCAGCUGCUUGUGCUAUGAAGUAAGAGCUUCCUGUAACAGGUUGUGGCAAGUCCCCAGUUCAAACGAUAUCUGACACUAUAAUCCCAUCUUUGCUUGACGCGUUAAAGAAGUAUUGCAGCAGAAGUUUAAUCAAUGUUGCUACGUUCUUUUAUCUAACGUUCUACUUUUCCUUUUGGAGUCAAUGGUACACAUUCAAGCAAGACUAUUAGAGGCAUUCAACGAAAGCAUUCAGGUCAAUAACUCUUUCAUCUUCUGAAUAGUCCUCGUGUCUUGCCCUUGAGCUUAUUUGUCUCUAAAAGUACUUACUCACAGAUUCCGGGUUCACAUCUAAGUAAACGCCAAGCUGAAGAAUUUGUUGAUGGCAUAUCAAAGGUUCUCUCGACUUGCUCAUACCACAAAACAGAAAUAGAGAAAAGAGCUAAAGAACACAAAGAUCACAGGGGGCAGGAAGCUGAGCAACACUUAACUAUAUGUAGAAACAUUAAUGUUUUAUCUCAACACAGCCUCUAACAUAUAUACUUUAACAUGAUAGUAGACUUACCUUCGUUUGUUUCUUUUUGUUUCCUGAAUUCAGAUUGGCAUUUGCCUGGGAACUAUGGUGGAAAAACUCAAGGCAUCAUUCUUGCCCCUUCUUGACAAGUUUUUGCCUUAUCACUUAUGUGGGUAAGUUUUUGCUAUUAUAUACCAAAUAUAGAGCAAGUUUUAUAUAGUUUCUUUGAUCUUACACAUUUCCUUUUCACUUUUUCUACGUACUUCUGCGCAGAGUAAUGAUAGAACAGCAGAAGAAAGAAGAAUUGUAGUGCACCUUUUCCGUGAUAUUGCUGAGCAGUGUCGAGAAGUAUUCAGGCAAGUCUUAUGUUAUUUUCGUUGUCUUAUUACUCAUGAUAUUAAGCACAAUUGUCUUAGCUGAAUGUCGUUUUUGAUUAUUUAAAAAUCAGGUACUACGAGGAGUGGAUACCUCUCCUGCCUAGAGUUCACUGUCAUAAGAAUCCAAGUGUUCCGCAGGUUCUAUUUUUGGCCUAGUUUUUUCCCAAGAAAGUCCUUUUUAUGUCCUUCAAAUCUGACGUUCUUUAUUUGCUCAGAUCGUGGCAACUGCAAUUGGUAUUUGUGCUGAAUUUGGAGCAUAUUUCCUUAAACUGCACACUACAGGUAGCUUGCUGCAUUAUAUAAUAUGCUUAUGAUGUGGUUAUGUUCUCCACUAUAAGCACUGACUUAGCUUUUCAACGGUGUUUGCAGUAAUAUUCCGCCAUUUAAAAACUCUAAUGGAACAUCCUGAUGCCAAAAACUUGGACAACAUCAUGGCUUAUGAGGCUGCUGUUUCUACCUGCGGAAAGUUAAACCAGUUUGUUGUGAAGGCAGCUACAACUAUGCGGUAGAACACGUAACAGACACUUGUCACAAAUUAGUCAUUUAUCACGACUGACAUAUUAUAAACGUAAUGACUCUGGCUUAACCACUUACCAAUAAGGUUUAAUCUGGAUGAGGCUAAAAUCAGUCACAAAAUGCUUUGUUCAAUGAUGGAGAUGUAAGUAUUCCUCGUAGGCUACAUCAAUAAGCCAUCAAUGUUUAUCAAAAACAUCAACAUGUCUUAUGCAUUGUGCCUUGAUCUUUCAGGUCAGAGGAGAAAGUUAUUGGCCCUGGUGGAUCUUAUAUACCGAUUACAAUAUUUUGGCUGAGGUCUUAUGGGCAGGGAAUGAUUUGGCUACUGAAGAAACUACGACGCGAAUUAUCAAUCUAUUGAAGAAGUUCCAAAGGGAAAUGCAACCUACUGUCUUGUCCAUAACAUUUGAAACUUUACCUCUACCACAUCAAAGCAUGUUGUGUACAGUCUAGUCCAUUGUAUACAUGUAAAGAACGCAGAAAGCUAACUGGAAAAGUAGCAGACUCAUACUUGUAGACACAGAGAGAUUACUAUAAAGAGUGUGAUUGUACACAAAAGGAUGAAAUAGGUGUGUUUGUAAAGGAUUUGUCCCACAUUGCUAUACAACAGAUACUUUUCUUGCUUUUUAAUAGAAUGCAACUGAACACCAAAUGCCGAGCUUAGUAGCGUGGGCUUGUUACUCAAGUGGGGGCAUUAAUGUGGUGGAAUGUUGGGCUGUCCCAGAUGGUUGGGCUUGGUAGGCUAGUUUCUGGCCUGCCCUAUCCAAGCUCAGAGUUGGAUCAUGGGGCCUGAUCGAAAGAAUGGGCUUGUUGGUCCCUAAAGCGGGGUGGACUGCGUAAGGCUGGUUUCACAGAGCAACGAAUAGCUCCCGCUCUGUGCAGUGGAAGGACAACGGGCUGGUGUCUUUCAAGUCCAGUAACACCUGAUGGGCUGCUCCAAUUAAACCACCACUUUUUUUCGGAUCUUGGUUUCACUGCUAUGCGACGUAGGCCCCUGGAAGUCAAUAUCGAAUAAAGGAAGAGGAGUGUGAUAGAUAUGUGGCCGGCAUAAAAUUCAUGAAGAAUCCUCAUAUAAUACAUAUGUCAUGAACUCGAACUUAAAUGAAAAAGCAUGUUCAUCGAAAAUUCAUAUAGUUAGUUGAUUCCAACUCAUUUAGUACUGAGAUGUAGCUUUUAUUGUAUAAUUGAUAUUUAAAAUUAAAUAGGAAAAUCAUGGCUGAUCAGGAUUCAUAUAUUUGAUCCUUACUUAUUUGAGACACGGACAUGAAUCAUAACUCAUAAGUGGCAGUACACAUUUCAUCAUUAGUAAAUAACCUGUUUUUCUCGUUCGCGUCCUGGAACUUUCUCUUCUGCUCCAAAAAAUUGUCUUGCUUGAGGUGGGGGCAGCACGCCGCUUCUUCUUAGGUUUACUCUAGCAUGUCGUUGGUUUGUUUUGUGUCACAUCCAGCAUCUUUUCGAUUGCAGAAGAAAAUGUGGAUUGUCCAACAGGAAUGGCAAUGCCAUAAGAAAAGCUUUAGGUCCUCCUGUUAUAUAUAAGCAAUGCUAUUAGAAUUGGUGGAAGCGCCCAACCGUAGGACCGGAGAACCUGCACUGCAUUAACCAACUGGUAUACUCCAUUAACCAACCAUUUACAGGAAGAUCGACUGAAACUCAUCGAAAAUUCCAGAAGAAUAAUGUUGAAUUUUGAUAAUUCUCUAGAAAAAAUCCGUUCUUUUUUUUCAACAACUCAAAUCUCUUCUGCAACCUAUGCCUGCAUUAUCAUGAGCAUCUAUGCAAAAGACUGGUUAGAGAUCUCCUAUUUUUCACUUAACAGAAGUUAUUUUGGAGUGGUCUUACCAAAGAAUUCUCAUGUUGAGAGCCGAAGACAUAAAUGGUUAGCUUCUUUACUGCUGUUUUCAUCGAUGUUGACUUACAAUGAUCAAUGUUACUGUCCCAUUUUGAUUCAAGAAUACCUUCAGCAGAGAAAUGUAAACACUCACACGAGUGUGACAUCGCAGUUUCCUGGAUGCAAUGAAUUUGAUGACAUGCCCGCAAGAUUCACAGAAGUGUAGUAUUAGAUUUCCAUAAUAAUAAAAGCAAUUUUUCCUAAGAAAGAAAGGAAGAAUUUGUCCCACACUGCAAUGCAACAGAAACUUUUUGUACUUUUUAAUACAAUGCAAGAGACUGCUGCUUGCUGAGCUCAGUAAUGUGGGCUUGUUACCCAAAUGGGGGCAUUAAUGUGGUGGGAUGUUGGGCAUUCCCAAAUGGUUGGACUUGGUGGGCUAGUUUCUGGCCUGCCCUAUCCAAGCACAGAGUUGGAUCACGGGGCCUAAUUGAAAGAAUGGGUUUCUUGAUCCCUAAAGCGGGGUGGACUGCGUGAGGCUGGCUUCACAGAGCAACGAAUAGCUCCCGCUCUGUGCAGUGGAAGGACAACGGGCUGGUGUCUUUCAAGUCCAGUAACGCCUGAUGGGCUGCUCCAGUUAAACCACCUCUUUUUUCGUGGUCUCUACAAGUUAUUUUGACAAAUUCAAUUUUAAACUAGUAUCAUGUUGGCCUUCCUACAGUUGUAGGAGGAGUUGGCAGACUGUAAAUUUGUAGAUUGGUGAAGAAUCCUCAUUUUGUACGUAUGAUAUGACUUGAGCUUAAAUAGAGAAACGUGGUCAUUGAUGAUUCAUAUAGUUGAUUCCAAGUCGUUUAGGAACGAGACAAAGUUGUUAUUAUAGAAUGCUUGUUUGAGAUUGAAUUUCAAUGAAAAAAUAUAAUUAGUGAGGAUUUUGGUACUACAUAUGCAGCUGAUAAAGAUAAACAAACUGGUGUUGUUGUAGAUGUUAGAUUAGAUUUUGUAUGUAUCUCAACUAUUCGACAAAGGUGAUAGAAAGUGAAAUGACACCAGGUAGUUAGUUUUAGGGCCGAUUUUUAGAACCUUUUUAUAAUACAUACAACAUGAGUUGAGUUUAAAUGCAGAAACAUGAUCGUUGGUGAUUCACAAAGCCGGUCUCAGCUCAUCUAGAACCGAAAUGUAGUUGUCAUCGUAAAAUGCUGGUCUGAGAUUGAAUUUAAAUGAGAAAACAUGGUUAGUGAGAAUUCAUAUAUGACCGAUACCCUUACUUAUUCGUCAUUGCGUAGAGGAAGGAGAUAGAAUGGAGUGGCAGAAGGAUAGUGCAGGUAAAUGGUAUGAAGAACUUGAUUAGUAUAAUUGUUUUGUUCAAUUAUUCUAUCAAGAUCUUUACAUUGAGGUGUCAUUGUACCGCGUUCAGAUCUAGUCUUAAAAGGAGAAGCCUUAAUGACUUCGUUCGAGUAGGAAAUGUUUAGUCCUUCUAAAGGAGGAGUUACGGAUUCUACCACAGUGUUUCUCUGAGUGUACCAUUUGGUAACGAUANNNNNNNNNNNNNNNNNNNNNNNNNNNNNNNNNNNNNNNNNNNNNNNNNNNNNNNNNNNNNNNNNNNNNNNNNNNNNNNNNNNNNNNNNNNNNNNNNNNNNNNNNNNNNNNNNNNNNNNNNNNNNNNNNNNNNNNNNNNNNNNNNNNNNNNNNNNNNNNNNNNNNNNNNNNNNNNNNNNNNNNNNNNNNNNNNNNNNNNNNNNNNNNNNNNNNNNNNNNNNNNNNNNNNNNNNNNNNNNNNNNNNNNNNNNNNNNNNNNNNNNNNNNNNNNNNNNNNNNNNNNNNNNNNNNNNNNNNNNNNNNNNNNNNNNNNNNNNNNNNNNNNNNNNNNNNNNNNNNNNNNNNNNNNNNNNNNNNNNNNNNNNNNNNNNNNNNNNNNNNNNNNNNNNNNNNNNNNNNNNNNNNNNNNNNNNNNNNNNNNNNNNNNNNNNNNNNNNNNNNNNNNNNNNNNNNNNNNNNNNNNNNNNNNNNNNNNNNNNNNNNNNNNNNNNNNNNNNNNNNNNNNNNNNNNNNNNNNNNNNNNNNNNNNNNNNNNNNNNNNNNNNNNNNNNNNNNNNNNNNNNNNNNNNNNNNNNNNNNNNNNNNNNNNNNNNNNNNNNNNNNNNNNNNNNNNNNNNNNNNNNNNNNNNNNNNNNNNNNNNNNNNNNNNNNNNNNNNNNNNNNNNNNNNNNNNNNNNNNNNNNNNNNNNNNNNNNNNNNNNNNNNNNNNNNNNNNNNNNNNNNNNNNNNNNNNNNNNNNNNNNNNNNNNNNNNNNNUUAGGAUCAUUUAUAUCUACCGAGAAGUUUGGGUAACAAUUAAAGUAAACCGGACCGUCGGCGAGGUUACUUUGAAUUACUCCUAAGAGAGAGUCGUCAAAAUUCAGCAGACGAGCAUCUCGUAGGAGAGCACAGACAGGGAUAUCUAAUCCUUGUCGGAAAAGAGGCUUAAUAGCAACUUGAACAAGUCCAACAUGAAGAUAAUUAAACUGAUUUUUAAAUCUGUUUAUAUCUAAUUCGUUGAACAGUUGAAUAAUUUCUAAAGAAUUAUUAAUAGCGACAGUAGACUCAGAGGUCUUGAUAUUAUGUUUUUUCAAAAAACUAAAUUUUCCAAUUUGGUAAAUAGCAUUGAAAGAUUCUUCUGGAAUACUCCAGUUUUGAAGAUCAUUUUCAAUAGUAGCAAUCGGAGUUGCUUGAGAAGAUAAAUUAACAGUAUUUUUAACGUGACUAUUCAUCAAUUAAACAAAACUGUCUAGAGCAUGAGCAGAAAACGGAUCGUAGAAACUCUAAGUUAAAAGCGUGAUUAAAAGCGUGAUAAUAACAAAACAGAGAUAUAAUAUAUAGGAAAUAGAGAGAUAAAACUUACAAGUUUAUUUAGAAAAACAUUACAAGAGAUUACAGGAGAUUAGGCAAGGAGAAUUUCUAAAGUGGGGAAAUUUCUGAAUGCCUUCUCUAAAGGAUAACAAAGCCUUUUAUAGGCCAAGGGGAUACAUCAAGUGUAAAAGAGGGGUACAUCUAGCAUACAGAUGGACGGAUGUGAUUCUACCGACAAAGAAGAGUGUUUGCUUUUGAAAAGCAAAAGUGAGUGGGUUGUCUCUUUUUCUUUUUGAAAAGUAGUGGUUGCUUUUUGAAAAGCAGUCCAUGUGCCUGUGACAGCUGUGAUCCUAGAUUCCUGUUAGGAAUAGUGAUUUGCCCUCUCAAAAAGAUAAUUCCGGCCCUUUGGACCUCUAUCCUUUUGAAGGGUCGUUUUCCUAUUCAUAAUAGGGAUCAAGGUAGGCCAUAGCAAUCCCUUGGGGAUCUAGCAUAUCGCCAUUGUCAUUGCUGCUACCGGUAGAAGAGGCCUCUACAAUAAGUUGCAGUAAUUCUUCUGUAUCAUUAGUAGUGUCUGGUCCAUCUAAUUUGGCCAACACCUGCUUUAGUUUUUCUUUGAGAGCCUUCUUGGAAGAGGAAGGGCGAGGAGAAGCUGCUGCAGAUAUUCCUUUGUCAGGAGUUCUGGAAGCAGUUGGCUUGGGAGUCCAACCCUUAAUUUUGAUUUCUUUUGACAAGUAUUUAAUCCUGUGCUGUUCUUCCUUAGAGAAGUUCCAGGAUAUAAUAUAAGAUAUUCGUUUCUUGAUAAAAAACUUGCACAUUUGAAUGUGCUCUGGUAAUGUAGAGCAACCUUCCUUAACUAAGAAGUCUGGAAGCCGAUUGUGAAAUUGUUGGGGAAGAACUCCUUUAGUUCCUCCAAAGCAAAUCCACCAUUCAUAGAACCAUCGGGGUAUGAUGGCUUCCAUCAUGGCAGGGCAAUAUUUUACAAACCACGUAUGUCCUGGACGAACAAAUAGAAAGUUGAACCAUGCUGACUUGUAGUCAUACCAAUUAAAUGUCUGAGGCCUGUGUGGCAUUGACAAGGCAACUGGGGUAUGUAGGUGAUCUACAAACCAAUUGAAGGGGGUUAAUACCCUCUUGAUGGUAAAUUUUGAAUAGCUAAUGUAGUCUGGAUUACGAUUGUCCAUUGAAUGUUCUACCUCAAUGGAGUCUGUAUCGACUAGAAUAGCUUCAUAGAAUCGGCGAGUUUUGAGUGGAUCUUCAGUGUCCACAAAAUUGUUGUUGUUGUAUACCGGCUUGAUUAGCUGACUGAUUGGGUAGCUUUCAUAAGCUUUGUCUAGAGCGAUGAUGGGCAUUACUUGAGUAGUAAUAAAUUUAAAUUCUUCCUUAGUAGGAGAGGAUGGGGUAGCUUUGACUGCUGUGGGAUCAACUGCUUGUGCGAAAGUUUCUGGGGCCUUCAUGGCGUAACUUUGUUUGGUUUGAACCGAGGAAGAGCUUGCUGAGGACUCUUUGUUUAGGGGUAAAUUUGUCUUUAGAUCUACCAAUUUCGUUGGAAUUGGUGGUGGGAGCUUAGGAAACUGGACCUCUGUCAAAGCAGAGUAUUUAUUUUGGACCUCCGUUUUGAUUGUAGGCUUCUGCGGAACCGUAGGCCUUAGUGGAUUUGUAGAGGCUGGAGAGUCGAAUGGUCUAGCCAUUCUUUGUUGUUCUGUUUUGGGGCUAUUGCCCGGAUUUGUUGGUCUCAUGGCCCUGUAAAAAUUCUCUUGUUAGAAAAUCGGGAAGGGAGUUAUUUUCUCCUUUAAUAAAUUCAAUUUGAAAAUCAAAGCUAGAUAGGAGAGCUUGCCAUCUAGCAAAUAUUUGUUUGGAAACAAGAUUUUUAACAUCCUUUUGUAAAAUUUCUUUAGCUGAUUUGCAAUCAACUCGAAGAAGAAAUUCCUUGUUAAUAAGGUCAUCUUGAAAUUUGGUGAUACAUAGCACUAUAGACAAAAUUUCCUUUUUGACUGUGCUGUAGUUUUUCUGGGUCGUAUUCCAUACUCCAGAGGUGAAUCGAACUAAUUGUUCAGGAGAUUUAUCCUCUACCUUUUGCUUCAGGAUACCUCCAUAUCCUAUAUCCGAAGCAUCAGUCUCUACAAUCAUAAAGGCAUCAGGAUUGGGGAUACCGAGACAGGGAAGAUUUUUAACUAGUGAUUUAAUCUUUAUGAUUGCAUUGGUUUGGGCAGGACUCCACGGAACUGGGUUUUUCUUAAGACGCUUAUAGAGGGGCUCACAGACCUGCCUAAUAUUGGGGAUAAAAUCAGCAACGUAAUUGAGGCUUCCUAAGAACCUUUGGAGUUGAGUUUUAUCAGUAAUUUCAUCAGGGAAUUUGGUAGAGAAUUCUAUUGCCCUACAAAUAGGUUUCUGACUCCCUUGAUGCAAAUCAUGACCCAAAAAGUGGAUGGAAGUUUGAAAAAGCUUCAUCUUCUUAGUACUUACAACAAGACCGUUUAAUUUUAUGAUCUUAAAGAAAGUAUUGAGAUGUUUAAAAUGAGAAUCAAUGUUGUUAGAAAAAAUUAAUACAUCAACAAUGUAAACAAUUGCCAUGUAAGAAUAAUCAUUGAAAAUGUUAUUCAUAAUAUUCUGAAACUCAGAGGGAGCAUUUUUAAGUCCAAAAGGUAAGACAUUCCAUUCGUAGUGCCCAAAAGGGACAUUGAAGGCCGUCUUAUAUUUAUCUUUUUCAGCGAUUUGAAUUUGCCAGAAACCUGACUUCAUAUCAAAUUUACUAUAAAGAUUGGCUUUAUAAGUCCGUUUAAGAAGAUCCCUUUUAUUAGGGAUUGGAUGUCUGAUCCACUUUAGGACAGCGUUCAAAGGCUUGUAAUUUAUUACAAGCCUAGGAGUCCCUCGUUCCUUUUCAGCACUAUUGUUUACAUAGAAUGCUGAACAACUCCAAGGGGAGUUAGAAGGUCUAAUGAUCUCCUUCUCGAGAAGGUAGUUGAUUUCUGUUUUACAGAUCUCCAUCAUCUCGUGAUUCAUUUGGAUAGGUCUGGCUUUGGUUGGGAUGUUUUGUUCAUCGAAGCCAGGGAUGUAGGGAAGUUCUACGAGAUGUUUCUUGCGUUCCCAAAAGGCAUUUGGCAAUUCAGAGCAAAUCUCAUUCUCGAACUUCUUUUGGAGAAUAGAUAUUUUGCUAAUCAUCUCCGGGGUUUUUAAAGUUUGCUCAAUAUGUUGGAGCUGAACAUCAUUUUUCAAAAAGUUAAGAUGGGAAGAAAGUCGAUGAAUUUUAAAAACAGUUUCGUCUUUGAUGCGCUGCUGUUCGUUGGAAGAGAGCGGACGAAGUAAAGGGAAAAAUAGUUCAGUAUCCAACAAAGUUGUGCGAAUACCAUCGUAGUCACUUUGGUAAGGUCGGAUCUGAUUUAUAAAAGGAAUUCCUAGAAUGAUAUCUUCCGUGAUAUCUUCUGUGAUGACAAAGUCAUUAAUAAGGCAGACGCCGUUAUUACAGACGUGAGCUUUUCGAAGCUGAUAAUUAAUUCGCAUUUUUUCGCCGGUGGCAGAAUAUAGUCGUGAGGUACUCUUUUGGAGAUAUCGAGUGGGUAUGAGGCCUUUGACAAUACAGUUACUGUCGGCACCAGUGUCGAAUAGAGCAACUUUUUUUAUUACAAAUUCUUUGUCAAUAACAAUGUUGACUACAAUGUGUUCACUGUAAGCCUUAAUGGCUGCUACAGUGGUAGAGGUGGAAGGAAUAGCAGGAGUUUCUUCACCAGGAAAGGAAAUGUGUUCUUUGAGAUGAUCAGUUGGAAUACUGAUAUGAGGAGUAGGAAGAAGAGCCUUGGGUGAGGCGGAUUGUAAGACUUGUUCUGUUAGAACAUGUAGUUCCACCUGAUCAAGUCGGACCUUAAGGUUCUUGAUUUCUCCUUUCAAGGUGGAGAUUUCACCCUUAAGUUCUGCUAUAGAGGGUUCAGAAGGAGUAUUAAAUUUAGCCAUAACUCUUGUCAUGGAGAAAGGCUGAAUAAUAGGUUUUGGUUUAGAAGUGCCUUCGUCGUGAGAAAGCAUAAUACGUUUGAGCUCUUGAAGGUACUUAUUUCUAAGUUCCUCGUCGUCAAUAUGUUCAAUGAUGUCAAACAAAAUCUCUUUUGGUUUGUCGGUAAUGACAUUGAUGAUUUUCCUUGAGCAAGUACAGAAAGUGCCAUUGCACUCACAAUCUUGCCCUGAUUGGGAGCUAUCAGACUCAUAAGCGGCAUUAAUAAAAUCUUCAUCGCUGUAUUCGUCCUCGGAAGAGGAAUAAGAGUCUGAGACUUCAGAGGUGUCGUCCAUAAUGGAGAAAAGCUUUUCUCUGGUUUCGUCCGUUAGAUCAAGUGAAUUGAUCUUUUUCUUUUUGCCGGAUGUACAAUCCUUUGCCCUAUGGCCGGUUUUGCCACAAGUCCAGCAAGUAUCUUUGGAUUUUGUGAACGAUUUGCGCCUAGAUUUUCGGCGAGGUUUAUUCGACUCCUUAUAGGAAGUCUUCUUUUGCGGAUAAGGCUUUUUGUGACGUCUAGAGGGCAUCCUCUUGUGCCUUUUACUGUCUUUGAGAUCAGUAAAGCCGUAAUCGUGACAGAAGGUUGUCAGACCAUAUUUACUAUUCUGCUUAAGUUGUUGCUUAAGUUUAAGGUCUGUACAGAGUUCCAUACCCGUAGUGGUGAUGAAACUUACUAAGUCUCCAUAGGUAAGAAUGUUGUAAGGAAUUUGACCCUCGAAUCUAUCCUUAAGUUUUGUUCGGACUUUAUCUGCAAAUAAUGGGGGAAGACCACUGAUGAAUCUUUCUUUCCAGAAGUCAUUAUUGCAGUCGGGUCUGAUCAUAACCUUAAUAAGGAAGGUAUCUUUAUACCACCUAAAGUCUGCAAGGUUUUUGCAACGAAGGUUAUUAAGGAUUUCGAGACUCCUAUCUUGGAAGAGUUUUGGUUCUCCUACAAAAUGCUAGCUAUGUGGUAAAGAAGGGUUGCACAGGCAUCUUCUUGUGCUUCUUGAACCAGGGUUUCUUGGCCAUCUACUGUUCGAGCCACCUGUUCAAGGACUGUGGCGUUGUAAAUGAGGUUUUUCUCAUCCUCCGAGACAUAAUUGUCCCACCAGUGUUUUAGCAUACCGGUAAAACCCGAGACAACCAUGGUGGCGGCUCCUUUGUCAGAGGAACCUUUGAUUUUGUAGGCCGUGAUGGCAACAGCUAUCUCAUGGAGUUUAUUGUAGAUCUGAUGUUCGGCCAGACCAUCAAUAUUCCAUUCGGUUAUGCCUCGCCCAUCAUGAUUAGAUGUGGAGAGGUAAGGAUUUUCUUCAAACUGGACGUCAGGGGGAGAAGGUUUUCGAUAAUAGUUUUUUCUAGUGGAAAACCGUUCACUAGUAAGUUUAGAGAGAGAAUUCUUUACUUUAGAACUGGAGGAGUCUUUAGAGCUAGAGGGCUCUUGAGAAACUUUGAACUUGGUGAGUUUGGAGUUGAUUUUUUCCAAAAUUUGCUCAGACAAUUUAAAAUCAUCAUUCAAGUUUGGAAACUUAUCCUUGUGAAAUUCCGAGAGUUUGAAGAUAGGAUUUGAAAGAGGUUUAGAGCUUGGAGUGCUCUUAACCGGUAAAGGGGCAGAAAGAGGAGGACUCUUGGUGUCCUCUAUCUGUUGGGAAAUGGUAUGAAGAACUUGAUUAGUAUAAUUGUUUUGUUCAAUUAUUCUAUCAAGAUCUUUACAUUGAGGUGUCAUUGUACCGCGUUCAGAUCUAGUCUUAAAAGGAGAAGCCUUAAUGACUUCGUUCGAGUAGGAAAUGUUUAGUCCUUCUAAAGGAGGAGUUACGGAUUCUACCACAGUGUUUCUCUGAGUGUACCAUUUGGUAACGAUAACAUUAAGGGAGUCUGUUUGGUUUUCUAUCUUUCCAGUUUUUUCAAACCAGAAGAAGAAUUCCAUGUCGCAUCGGAGUCUUUUCAUGUCGACUAUCCAUAGCCUACCAAACUCCUUCUGUUCUUCCGGAGAAUAAGUACUUCCGUACCAUCUCCUUUUGAGAGUAUCUUUCGGAUGGUUCCAUCGGACCUUUAAGGCCUGUAGAUCCGGGACAUAUUCUUCAUUAGUAGACCGGAUGACGAAUAGGCUAGGAUCGGUUCGGACUCUUUGAGGAGGAGCCAUUUCGAAGGCUGAAGGGCUUCCUGGCUCAUAAAGAUUUGGUUCUUUGACCUUUGUGUUUUGGUAAUAGACCUUAGGGAUAGGACCAGAGUAGUCAACUCCUCUAAUCGUUCCCUUGUCAUUACUGACAUCGUGAUCGUUAUGUUCACGUUCUGUUCUGGAAGAAGAGGCACGUGUAGAGACGGACCUGCGAGAGGAAGAGAGCCGAGAAGGGUCGACCCCUAGGAACUUCAGGUCUAUCGAUCCAUCAGGGUGUUGAAUCACCCUUUCGAUCUGGGAUUGUUCGGAGUAACUCCGGACAGGGGGGGUGAUAGCCUCAAAAUGCCAAUCAUUACUGUGGAGGAUAUCAUCCCAAACUAGAGCCUUUGGAACAAAAACUGUGCUACGAUCUUUGUUUGCUUCCAUCAGGGUGGUGACCCCUUUAGGGCUCGUGAACCUAGCUUUAGGGGCUAGAGUAGUACCCAUAAGUCGAUAAUAUACUCGGUAUAUUAUCGCUAUUUCUCGUGUAUUAUCCUUACUAUUCAUGUUUUUUGUUUUAACAUUCAAUGUUAAAACAUCCAUGAUGUUAGGAUCAUUUAUAUCUACCGAGAAGUUUGGGUAACAAUUAAAGUAAACUGGACCGUCGGCGAGGUUACUUUGAAUUACUCCUAAGAGAGAGUCGUCAAAAUUCAGCAGACGAGCAUCUCGUAGGAGAGCACAGACAGGGAUAUCUAAUCCUUGUCGGAAAAGAGGCUUAAUAGCAACUUGAACAAGUCCAACAUGAAGAUAAUUAAACUGAUUUUUAAAUCUGUUUAUAUCUAAUUCGUUGAACAGUUGAAUAAUUUCUAAAGAAUUAUUAAUAGCGACAGUAGACUCAGAGGUCUUGAUAUUAUGUUUUUUCAAAAAACUAANNNNNNNNNNNNNNNNNNNNNNNNNNNNNNNNNNNNNNNNNNNNNNNNNNNNNNNNNNNNNNNNNNNNNNNNNGAUAUAAAUGAUCCUAACAUCAUGGAUGUUUUAACACUGAAUGUUAAAACAAAAAACAUGAAUAGUAAGGAUAAUACUCGAGAAAUAGCGAUCAUAUUACCGCCUCAUGGGUACUACCCUAGCCCCUAAAGCUAGGUUCACAAGCCCUAAAGGGGUCACCACCCUAAUGGAAGCAAACAAAGAUCGUAGCACAGUCUUUGUUCCAAAGGCUCUAGUUUGGAAUGAUAUCCUCCAUAGUAAUGAUUGGCAUUUUGAGGCUAUCACCCAUCCUAUUCGGAUUUACUUCGAGCAAUCCCAGAUCGAAAGAGUAAUUCAACACCCAGAUGGAUCUAUCGACCUGAAAUUCCUCGGGGUCGACCCAUCUCGGCUCUCUUCCUCUCGCAGGUCCGUUUCUACGAUCCUAAGCUUACGACCUACUUUCAGGCUGACCAACGUCUUCAUCGGGGAUUAAUCGGUUCCGUUAAAACACUUAAACAGUACAUAGACACCCCGAACUUGAAUUAACACUCCAUUAUAAGACAAGACAUAAUAACAUAAUUAAAAUUUAGGUAAAGCAUACCAGAUUAAAAUAAUAUGGUCAUGUAUAAACAUAAUUUUGCUCAUGCUCUAGACAGAUUAUAUGUUUAGCUGCUCAUGCUGAACAUAUAAUCUGCCAACAUGGCUCUGAUACCAGAAAACGGAUCGUAGAAACUACUAUGUUAAAAGCACAAUAAAAGCAUAAAAUUACCAAAGAAAACAGAGAUAAAAACUUACAAGUUUAUUUAGAAAAACAUUACAAGAUUGAUUACAGGAGAUUGGGCAGAGAGAAUUUCUAGAGUUCGGAAAUUUCUGAAUGCCUUCUCUAAAAACUAAUCAAAGCCUUAUAUAGGCAAUAGGGGAUACAUCAAGUGUAAAGAAGGGAUACAUCUAGCGUACAGAUGGACGGUUAUGAUUCUACCGACAAAGAUGAGUGUUUGCUUUUUUGAAAAGCAAAAGUGAUUGGUUUGCUUUUGAAAAGCAGUCUAUAUGCUUUAGACAGCUGGGGUUUGCUUUUUUGAAAAGCUAUCCAGAGGUUUUAGACAGCUGUGGUCCUGGAUUCCUGUUAGGAAUAGUAAAUUGCCCUUUCGAAGAGAUAAUUCCGGUUCUUUGAACCUCUAUCUCUUUGAAGGGUUAUUUUCCUAUUCAUAAUAGGGAUCAAGGUAGGCCAUAGCAAUCCCCUUGGGAUCUAACAUAUCGCCAUUUUCGUCGCUGCUACCGGUGGAUGAGGUUUCUGCAAUGAGUUGCAGUAAUUCUUCUGUAUUAUCCGUAGUAUCUGGUCCAUCUAAUUUGGCCAAUGCUUGCUUUAAUUUCUCCUUGAGGGCCUUCUUGGAAGAAGAAGGGCUGGGAGAAGCUGCUGCAGAUAUUCCUUUGUCAGGAGUUUUAGAAGUGGUUGGCUUGGGAGUCCAACCCUUAAUCUUGAUUUCUUUUGAUAAAUAUUUAAUCCUGUGCUGCUCUUCUUUGGAGAAGUUCCAGGAUAUAAUAUAAGAUACUCGAAUCCUCAUAUAAUACAUAUGUCAUGAACUCGAACUUAAAUGAAAAAGCAUGUUCAUCGAAAAUUCAUAUAGUUAGUUGAUUCCAACUCAUUUAGUACUGAGAUGUAGCUUUUAUUGUAUAAUUGAUAUUUAAAAUUAAAUAGGAAAAUCAUGGCUGAUCAGGAUUCAUAUAUUUGAUCCUUACUUAUUUGAGACACGGACAUGAAUCAUAACUCAUAAGUGGCAGUACACAUUUCAUCAUUAGUAAAUAACCUGUUUUUCUCGUUCGCGUCCUGGAACUUUCUCUUCUGCUCCAAAAAAUUGUCUUGCUUGAGGUGGGGGCAGCACGCCGCUUCUUCUUAGGUUUACUCUAGCAUGUCGUUGGUUUGUUUUGUGUCACAUCCAGCAUCUUUUCGAUUGCAGAAGAAAAUGUGGAUUGUCCAACAGGAAUGGCAAUGCCAUAAGAAAAGCUUUAGGUCCUCCUGUUAUAUAUAAGCAAUGCUAUUAGAAUUGGUGGAAGCGCCCAACCGUAGGACCGGAGAACCUGCACUGCAUUAACCAACUGGUAUACUCCAUUAACCAACCAUUUACAGGAAGAUCGACUGAAACUCAUCGAAAAUUCCAGAAGAAUAAUGUUGAAUUUUGAUAAUUCUCUAGAAAAAAUCCGUUCUUUUUUUUCAACAACUCAAAUCUCUUCUGCAACCUAUGCCUGCAUUAUCAUGAGCAUCUAUGCAAAAGACUGGUUAGAGAUCUCCUAUUUUUCACUUAACAGAAGUUAUUUUGGAGUGGUCUUACCAAAGAAUUCUCAUGUUGAGAGCCGAAGACAUAAAUGGUUAGCUUCUUUACUGCUGUUUUCAUCGAUGUUGACUUACAAUGAUCAAUGUUACUGUCCCAUUUUGAUUCAAGAAUACCUUCAGCAGAGAAAUGUAAACACUCACACGAGUGUGACAUCGCAGUUUCCUGGAUGCAAUGAAUUUGAUGACAUGCCCGCAAGAUUCACAGAAGUGUAGUAUUAGAUUUCCAUAAUAAUAAAAGCAAUUUUUCCUAAGAAAGAAAGGAAGAAUUUGUCCCACACUGCAAUGCAACAGAAACUUUUUGUACUUUUUAAUACAAUGCAAGAGACUGCUGCUUGCUGAGCUCAGUAAUGUGGGCUUGUUACCCAAAUGGGGGCAUUAAUGUGGUGGGAUGUUGGGCAUUCCCAAAUGGUUGGACUUGGUGGGCUAGUUUCUGGCCUGCCCUAUCCAAGCACAGAGUUGGAUCACGGGGCCUAAUUGAAAGAAUGGGUUUCUUGAUCCCUAAAGCGGGGUGGACUGCGUGAGGCUGGCUUCACAGAGCAACGAAUAGCUCCCGCUCUGUGCAGUGGAAGGACAACGGGCUGGUGUCUUUCAAGUCCAGUAACGCCUGAUGGGCUGCUCCAGUUAAACCACCUCUUUUUUCGUGGUCUCUACAAGUUAUUUUGACAAAUUCAAUUUUAAACUAGUAUCAUGUUGGCCUUCCUACAGUUGUAGGAGGAGUUGGCAGACUGUAAAUUUGUAGAUUGGUGAAGAAUCCUCAUUUUGUACGUAUGAUAUGACUUGAGCUUAAAUAGAGAAACGUGGUCAUUGAUGAUUCAUAUAGUUGAUUCCAAGUCGUUUAGGAACGAGACAAAGUUGUUAUUAUAGAAUGCUUGUUUGAGAUUGAAUUUCAAUGAAAAAAUAUAAUUAGUGAGGAUUUUGGUACUACAUAUGCAGCUGAUAAAGAUAAACAAACUGGUGUUGUUGUAGAUGUUAGAUUAGAUUUUGUAUGUAUCUCAACUAUUCGACAAAGGUGAUAGAAAGUGAAAUGACACCAGGUAGUUAGUUUUAGGGCCGAUUUUUAGAACCUUUUUAUAAUACAUACAACAUGAGUUGAGUUUAAAUGGAGAAACAUGAUCGUUGGUGAUUCACAAAGCCGGUCUCAGCUCAUCUAGAACCGAAAUGUAGUUGUCAUCGUAAAAUGCUGGUCUGACAUUGAAUUUAAAUGAGAAAACAUGGUUAGUGAGAAUUCAUAUAUGACCGAUACCCUUACUUAUUCGUCAUUGCGUAGAGGAAGGAGAUAGAAUGGAGUGGCAGAAGGAUAGUGCAGGUAAAUUCUCAAUCAGCUCACCAUACAAUGGAAGAUGAUCUCGAAAUUUAAUUAAGUUCAGUUUUUGCUGUCCAAAAUUCAGUGUUUUCAGCUCGAAAUGAAUAUUAGUUAUAUUAAUUUUGUAUUAUCGUAUUAGAUUUACAUAAUAAGAUAACCAUUUGGGAUUUGUCGCACAUUGCUUUAAAACAGAAACUUUUGUUACUUUAUAAUAGAAUGCAAAAGAGCUCUGCAUGCCGAGCUCAGUAAUGUGGGCUUGUAACCCAAAUGGGGGCAUUAAUGUGGUGGAUGUUGGGCUGUCUCAGAUGGUUGGACUUGGUGGGCUAGCAGCCCUAUCCAAGCACUGAGUUGGAUCAGGGGAUCCUGAUCGAAGGAAUGGGCUUCUUGAUUCCUAAAGUGGGGUGGACUGCGCGAGGCUGGUUUCACAGAGCAACGAACAGCUCCCACUCUGUGCAGUGGAAGGACAACAGGCUAGAGUCUGUCAAGUUCAGUAACACGCCUGAUGGGCUGCUCCAAUUAAACCACCACUUUUGGCCGGGAACUAUUUUUUAUUUUGAAUACCACUAAUCUAAAAAAUGGCUUGUUGUAACCGUACUUGGUUUGAGCUAUUAUCACACUUCAUGUUAAAAUAGCAUUUGAAAGCUUCUUAGAAAUGGUCAACCAAGGAGUUUGUUGCCGAUAGGAUAGAUGGACG